RNAcentral lists this long non-coding RNA (83358 nucleotides) under Citrus x clementina. RNAcentral's name for it is "Citrus clementina (C. clementina) long non-coding RNA (CCLE_LNC004343)". The stretch from base 11891 to 11997 matches the Rfam family "Plant small nucleolar RNA R71". The record is from RNAcentral. Lineage: Eukaryota; Viridiplantae; Streptophyta; Magnoliopsida; Sapindales; Rutaceae.
CAAAGGAACGUAAAAAGUCAACGCAAGAUAAGACCAUCUUGGGAAGUAUAUUAAUUUUAUUAUACGUAAGAGGUCUCGCAUUUGCAUGCAUAAAGGUUGAAAAUUACAAAUGACACACCGGAGAUUUGAUUGACACACACAUCAACAAUCCAUAUGCAUGAAAAUGACAAGAACUUAAUUUUCUGUUUCUACGCGUGGCAGUUUAUUUUUCUUAAAAAACAAAGAUAAAAGAGAAUAAAACGCAGCAACUCGAUUGAUCGCUAUCUUGCUCCAAGUAAGCCUUCCAUCAAACCCUUGCUUUCUUUAUUCGGAUACCAUUCGCCUCUCCUACAAGAACAAAUUAAUCAAUCUCUUUUAUUUGUCACUUAAUCAAUAGGAACGCAAUUAAACAGAACACGGUGCUUAAAAUUGAAAUGCUUAAUGUAAUUCUGAACUACUAGUCUUUACAUGUACAGUUUUAAAAAUAAAUGAGAUUACCAUAAAAGCAUGAGCUAUUCAUGGCCGCUUUCUAGUAGUAGUAAGGAGGAGGGGGAGAUGCAUAGACGUAAGGGUGAGGUGGUGGUGGGGACUUGGGGACAGGAGGUGGCGGGGAAUAGGAAAUUGGAGUUGGUGCCGGAGCAGGCACGUAGACUGGUGGAGGAGGUGGCGGGGGCAGGUAAACAGGGGGUGGUGGUGGAGAAUUGUGAACCGGUGGCGGGGGUGGUGGAGACUUGUACUUGGGAGGGGGAGGAGAUGUGUAGUAGUAUUUGUUUGCGGAGGCUUCUAACGGCAAGUAGCUAAGAGAGACUGAUACUACCAAAAGAGUGGCAAAGAGGCAGCCCAUUUGAGACCCCAUCGUUCAAUAAAGUGGAGUUUCACUUGUGCUAUAAACAAAGCUCGUUCCCCUCCUUAUAUAGACUUCCUUUUUACCUUCUCUACCAAACUUCUCAUAUUUAACCUUGACGUUAAACAAUUUUAUGUAUGAAAAGGAUGUCAUCAAGUGGGACCAAUUUGACUAAAUUUAAAAUUUAUAUGAUUUUGUUUAGUGGCCAGCUGUUGGCCAAGCAGGGAAUAAAGUAAUUAACAGUCCGAGAGUCACGAUCCUGUUAAAGAUAUGGCUUUUUGUUUUUUAAUCAAUGUAAUAAUUUGCGCAGGGGUCUUUGUGAUUUAUUUCAAUAACGUUAUUCUUCAUGAAGAGCUUGAAAACAUGUACUUAAUUACCUAACUUAUCAUGAAUGUUUUGGCCUUGGAUCCAGGCGGCGAGACUUAUUUUCAACGUCAUUUCAUUUAUUUAUUCAUUUUCACUUCGCAGCUUAUUAAUUGUUUUAAUUCCUCCAAAAACAAGUAGCUAGAGAUAUAUUUAACAUAGCUUUAAUUUAAAUUUCUUAUGAAUUCCUUUUAAUGCUCUUAUCUCACGGUGAAAUUAAUUUUCUCCUUGGGCAUAGCAGAAGCAAAAUAGUAGAUAUCGUUCAAGUACUCGAUCAAGUCAAUGCGAUAAAGUUACGCUCUAAUCGAAGUGUGAUUAAACUCAAAGGGAUUUUCAAUACUGCGUUAAGCAAAGCUAGAUGAUGCUCUAAUCAAACAACUUUAAAAGAGGGGUUUUUAAUAGAUAAUACAAAAGGAAAUUAUAAAAGAGGGGUUUUUAAUUGAAUAACUGAAAUUGAAGUUAUAAAGUAAUAACAAGAUCUCUUUAUUUAUAAUACAGUAAAUAUAUUUUCCGAAGUUAGCUUAAAAAGAGAAAGUAAAUUAUAAUUAUAACAUAAAUAAAAGAAAACUAAGACACUUACUUUAAUUAAAAAAAAAUAUCAGAAGACCUAAAAAUUAAAAUUCUAAAAUUCUAAAAUAACGUCCUACAUCAUUAACAAGCAUAGGAAACAACCUAGUCAUUAUGUAUUAACAAAUUAGUUUAAUUUGAUUCGUUGUCGUUGAUAGCUUGUGGAUCUUUGAAUAUUCAACAUCAACCAACACGUUAAGGACUUGUACAUAUAAUUGAACAAAGUAUGAAAUUGUAAAAUUAACCCUAAAUACAAAAAAAAAAUCAUAUUUUAAAACAUAAAAUUUGUAUGUAAAAAAAUUAUGACGCAACAAUUAAUUUACAAAAUAAAAAGCAAUAUUAGUAUUUAUGCUACACUAGUCCCAUAAUUAGUGCCACAAGGACCGUUUUGCAAUAUAUGCAAAAUUUCUGUGAAAUUGUAUAAUUUAUAUAAUUCAAGGAUUUUACCUUCUAUUUUUGUUUAAUUGAUUUUGAAUAACUGGAUGAUUUCUUCUUCCAUCUCUUCUACAUAUAUAUUUAAAGUUUUAUUAUAAUAUUAUGAAGAUCUAAAUGAUUAUUAAAUUUAUAAAGAUUUAUAAAACCUGAAUAUACUAUAGCACCGGCAUUUAUAAUUUAUUGUCUCUCUUGAGAUAUAAACUAGAUUUGUUCUUCCAACAUAUAUAUCCAUGUGUCCAAUCUAUUUUCCCAACCAAGGUACAUGCCAUCAAUGCUUUCACAUAGAUAUUAUAAUCUAAAUUGAGCAUUCAGAAUAAAAAAUUUCACAUCACUAUUAUUGUUAUUAUUAAUCAAUAGACUUAUUAUGGACGGUUUAGAGUCCUGUUAUUUAUUUUGCAUCAAUCUUGAAUUAUCUUAAGACCGGUUAAAAUAGAUUCUAUUAAUACUAUUAUAUUUUCUUCCUUAAAUGUGUCAUGUAUUUCAUUGUUAUCUUCAAAGUUUAUUCUCUCCAUAUCUCUCUAAAAGAUUGGGGAUACACUUGGGUUAAGAGAUUGGAGAUAAUCUCUAGAUGUAAAGGUUGAUUGACGCCUAAGAAGUCAAUUGUAAGUGUUCUUGAAGCCUUGAAGGCUUGACUAGUGGAAUGCCCAAGCUCGGUGUGCUUGGAGGCGUGGAUGUAAGCAAGGUUGGCCGAACCACGUAAAACUCUCUGUGUUUUAAUCUCUCUUCCUUUAUCUUUUUAUAUUUUGGUUGAUUUAUUUAUUAUUGCUUUAGAUUCGUUUAAGAUUUGCAUUAAGUUUUGAUUAAGAAUUGCAUAAUUUUUAGAAACCUAAUUCACCCCCCUCUUGGGUUGGUUAGAUAUUAUUUCACUAACAUGCCUCUGUUUGUGCAAAAUAUAAUAAGGUAAUUUAGAGUACUAACCAGAGUACUCUUCCUCGAAAUUCUAGAAUAGGUUCGCUAGUUCCAUGAGCCCAUAGAUUGGCCCAUGCUCAGCACUGUUAUAGCUCCACACAUCAUGCAAGAUCACUCCCGCAACUAUUCCACACGACCUAAAGCAACACAUUGCCGACUAGCCCAAUAAGAUCUGCCUUAGUUCAUUAGUUGAAUAAUUUGUUUUAAUUCUAAUUUAUAAUAAGAAUGGCACUGAUAAAAUUACUGUAGCAAUUCCUAUAAUAAUAAUCCUUGUGGAGACGAUCUUGAAUUUUUAUCGUUAUAUUACUUGUUGUCUACAUUUUCACAUUGACACUAAUAGCAUUAGAAAAUCGACAGCAAGUUUUUUGCGCCGUUGCCGGGGAUUGGUGCUUAUUGUGUUUUGUGAAAUCAAUUUUAGUUGGUACAGUGGAGUUCUUUGCCACCAGACUCCAUCACCACAUGGAAUGAUUUGGCUGACAAAAUUUUGAUGAAAUAUUUCCCACCAACAAAGAAUACAAAGUUGAAGAAUGAGAUCACAUCUUUCCAUCAACUUGAAGAUGAAAGCUUGUAUGAUGCAUGAGAAAGAUUCAAGGAGUUACUCAGGAGAUGCCCUCAUCAUGGUAUUCCUUAUUGCAUACAAUUGGAAACUUUCUACAAUGGGUUGAACUCAAGCACUAGGGGCUUUAUUGUCUAACUCAUAUAAUGAGGCUUAUGAAAUUUUGGAAAGGAUAACUAUCAAUGGCCAUCAACUAGACAAGCCACAGUGAGAGGAGCGGCAGGAGAACACAAUGUGGAUGCACUGACAACAUUAACAACCCAAGUAACCUCAUUGACAAAUAUGGUAAAAGCAACGGCCACUGUUCCAGCAACAUUUAACCAAGUUGCUGAAGUCUCUUGUGUUUAUUAUGGAGAGGGACAUCUAUAUGAUAAUUGUCCUAAGAAUUCAGCUUCAGUCAAUUAUGUGGGCAAUUUUAAUAAACAAAAUCCAAGCAAUCCAUUUUCAAACACCUAUAACCUUGGAUGGAGACAUCACCUAAAUUUUUCAUGGAGCAAUCAGAAUCAGCAUGCUGCAGCAUCCAGUGGACAUAACAGACUUGCUCAGCCACCUGGUUUUCACCAGCAAUUUUAAGGGUAAAGAAACACCAGUAAUGAUCAAUUUAGUUCCCUUGAAACUCUAAUUAAGGAGUAUAUUGUGAAGAUUGAAGUAGUGGUCUAAAGCCAAGCUGUAUUUUUAAGAAACUUGGAGAAUAAGAUUGGAUAGCUUGCUACAGCAUUGAGCAACAUACCUCAGGAUAAUUUACUAAACAAUACAGAGGAUCUAAAGAGAGAAGGAAAAGAGCAUUGUAAGGGGAUUAACUUAAAGCCUGGAAAGGAUGUUCAUAUUCUUGUUAAAGUACCAAAAAGAAGAAUGGAACCUAAUUCAACCCAAGGGGAAACUCAAAUUAAAGAAGAGACACAACAACCCUUUUUCCAGCACACUGGUGAGAGUUGCUAAGCUAUAGCAACUGCAAAAAAAAUGAUUCAGUGCUUGUUGAGGAAGUAGCUGCAGCACCAACAAUAACAGACCAUAAUAGAGCAAGAGAAAAGCAAUCUGUAUAGUCUGCUGCAGUACAACAAUUUACACAUCCACCACCCUUCCCACAAAGAUUUCAAAAGCGAAAGCAAGACAAGCAGUUCAGUAAAUUCUUGGAAGUAUUGAAACAACUGCAUAUCAACAUUCCUUUUGUGGAAGCAUUAGAACAAAUGCCAAAUUAUGUAAAGUUUUGGAAAUGUAUAUUGGCAAGGAAAAUGAGGCUUGGAGAAUUUGAAAUAGUUGGUCAAACACAAGAAUGCAGCCAUAUGCUUCAGAGUAAAAUGCCUCAGAAGUUGAAGGAUCUAGAAAGUAUCACAAUUCAUUGUUCUAUAGGAACUAAAUACAGUGGCAAGACACUUUGUGAUUUGGGAGCAAGUAUCAAUCUUAUGACAUUAUCAGAAUUCAAGCAAUUGGGAGUUGGAGAAGUCAGACCAACCACAGUGACAUUGUAAUAUGCUGCCAGAUCUCAUGCUUACCCUGAAGGCAAGAUUGAAGACGUAUUGGUUAAAGUGGAUAAAUUCUUUUUCCUAGUGGAUUUCAUAGUGUUGGACUUUGAGACAAAUAAAGAAGUACCAAUUAUUCUAGGCAGACCCUUUUUAGCCACAUGAUUUUCAAACUUAUCACUAUUACAACACUAAUUUUUAAUAUUGAUAGGAUUUUCAGGUCCUAUUACAACACUUUCAUGAAAUGACUGACCACCUGACCUAGUGUGCACCUCAAACUCAAUGACAGGACAACUAUUGAUAAAAAAAAACUCCUCGAAAACCCAAUACAAUUCACUAUCGUUUGAAAUUAGUUUCCACUGCCUACUUGUACUUUGAGUGAGUAACUGAGUGUCGUCAUUACAAGUGAUAGGCAUUCACAUGAAAGCUCAAUGUUGCAUUGAAGGGUUUAACUGAAAAAAAAAAUUAUUAUUAUUGUAGCACAGUUUGAGUAUAUUUAUGAUUUCUGCUCCCCCAUAUGUGAAUAUAUUUGUGUUCUACCUCUGAAUUAUAUGCAAUGUUUGUAUAAUGUUGUAGCACCUGUGGAAUUUGAUUAAAAUGGCACACAUACACUCUGGACAAAAUGAGGCCUAAGUCUAAAACUUGAACUAUUAUGGCAAUUUUGUAUGAUUAAGAGUGAGAUCUGAGGGUUGAAGAAUCCUUGCAAAUUUGAUGACAGAGUUAAGUUAUUUGUUGCAUGAUUGUGUGAUUAAAGUGUUAUUGUUGUUGUCAUUACUUGAGGACAAGUAAUGGUUCAGGUUUGGGGGUGUGAUAACUUUAUAAAAUAAGAGUUAUCAUGGCACUUUUAGACUUAAAUCAAUAAUACUUAUAGAGUUAAUAAUGUGUUUUCAUUACAUUUUUAUUUUAUUUUACAUAAACAUUCAUCUUAGUUUAUUCGUAAUAAAUUUUGUUUGAUUUAGAAUAAUUUGUGUGCUAAAUCAUAUGCAUAAUUGUAGGUGUCCGGAAGCCCAAAUUUCAAGAAAGGAAUGCUGAUGCAAUAGACUUUCCAAAGAUAGAAAAGAACUUGGCUACAAAAGAAUUAAAACAAAUCUGGAACAGUGCAAUUGCUGUAGCUAUUACUGUAGCAACCAUUGUUGUAGCAAUCCUAGAACAAUGACGGAUAAAAUUCUGUACGAGAUAAUUGCAUAAUUGCAAUCUGAAGUUUCCUAAUCUGACUUAUGUGCGACCUAGGCUUCCGUUUACCCUAAUUUUCAACUACAAAAGAAGCACACAUCAUAAGGAAAAGAGGGAACCGUCACCCAAGGAGAAAAACAUAAAGAAACAAAAGAAAAACAAGCUUCAAGAGAGAGAUUAAGAGUUACACAAGAGGAAAAAUUACAGAGAUCAAUUGAGAGCUCAAUCCUUCUUAUCAUUCUCUUGUUUUCGUGUUUUCUAUUUAUUCAUGGGGAUGUGUUUCAUGGCCGAAACUUUGUUCUUUAUUUUUCUUUCGCAAAUCAUGAACUAAAUUUAUUUGCGGUUGAGUGAUAAACAAUUUUGAUGGUUUAUUGACUGAAAAUAUGAGUUGCUGCAUGUUUGCUAUAGCAUUUUGUUUUGAUAGAAUUUAUUUUUAUUCAUUAUUUCGGUUGAUCACCCAUUUAAUGAUACUAGCUAAGGAAGAGCCACAAAAGGAACCUAUCUUAGUGGAACAUAUCAAAGCAAUACUUGAUCUUAAAUUGAGUUUCCUGGAUUGAGUUUUACUUGAGUCUCAAAAGGGCCAUUCUUGAUUUAAGAUUAGUGUGAACUAGACAUAGGGAUUCACCUUGUAGGGUAAAUAGAAUCUAAGCGUGUAAUGCUAUAUUUUAUGUUGGCAUAACAACUGAUCACUAUUAGGUUGCAUAUAGAUAUAUGAUAUCCAACAUGCGACGGCUAAGGAUGCAUAAGAAUUUUGCUCAGUGCUGUAGCAUAUACUGCAGCAACCUAGCCAACAAUUAGAAAAUAGUCAAGACCAUUAAGAGAGUUUAUUCACUCAACUACUCUAUAUUCCCAUUGGUUUUAUCCUUGAGUUUGACGUGAUAAUUUACUUUGUUGCAUUUUAUUUAUUGCGUUUUUAUUUUAAUUAGUAUAUUUGUUUCAUUAAUUAUUUUAUUUUAAUUUAAAACAAAAUCUGCACUGUUGAAAUUGCUGUAGCAAAUCUAAUAACAUCAAUCUCUGUGAAGACGAUCUUCAAUACUCAUCAUUAUAUUACUUGUUGUGUACACUUGCACAUUGACACCAAUAGCAUUAGUAUUUAUACCCAACAUACCUACAAAAAAAAAUCAAGUUAUGCCUUUUGGAAUCCAAAUACAUUUUGCUCCAUAAUAUGCAUUUCUUUUAACUGGACAUCUAUUCUUCAUGUGACCAUCUUGAUUGCAAUGGUGGUAUACAACUUGAUUGUUAAUGGAGGUACUCUUUACAAAUUAUUCUUAUAAUACUUCUGUUUCAAAUUUGGUUUAUAGCCAAUACCUCAUUUGUCUAACACACAUUUUUGUGAAUUAAGUUAUCCAAUAUCUUUUGCCUAUUUGUAAAUUUUAAGACAACAUCACUAAGUUCAAUAUUCCUUUUCUUGAGCAUCUCAUUUUCCUUUUUCAAAUCAUUUACAUGUGAUUUUAUAUGUUCAUGUGAAGUGCUAGGUUUCUCAUUUGAUAAUGCAACUCUAUCAUGCAAUGCUUUAUUUUCUAAUUCUAUGCAACUAAUCUUUGCACUUAGAGAUUCAUUUUCAUUUGUGAGCUCUGUUGUUUUCUUUUUAAGACAUGCAUUCUUUCUACCAACUUUCAUCAAUUCAUCCUACAAUUCUAUAAAAGCAUCAUAUAACUCAUCAUAAGUAGGAAGAUCAUUUACCUCAUCAAGUUCAUCAUCUCCUAUUGCCAUAAGUGUUAGGUUUGAUACUUCUUGUGAAUCUUCUUCAUCACUCAAUUCUUCAUCGCUAUCGUCCCAAGUAGCCACCAUGGCUUUCUUCUUGAGUUUGUCGAGAAGUGGACACUCCGAUUUUAAAUGACCACGCUUUUGGCAUUCAAAAGCGUGGAUAAGACAUGAAUUAGAAUUGUAAAAAGUUUGAUUUAUCAUAAAUUCUAUAUUUAGUCUAGGACAUUUGUAUACAUUUUUUUCCCAUUUUCUAUAAUGAUAUCUAUUUAUUACACAUGUUAAUUAAGUGCAAUUAUUUAUCUUGAUGUGGAUCAAGUAAAAAAAAAAAAAAGAGAUAUCAAUAAAAUUAGAUCUAAUUUUGAAUAUUAUGUAUACUUUAUGUAGUUUCAAACUUUUUGCUUGUAUUUGGAGACCAUUUAAGGCUGUUGUUGAAGAAGUGUAGAAAGAUGUAAAAUAACCUCAUCUUACAACAACUAUGAAAGAUAUUAAAAUAAUAUUUUUUUCAAAAUCCGAUUUUGAGAAAAAAUUUCAUCCUUAAUUAAACAUCACAUGUAUUAUAGAAAUGCAAAACUACCAUUGUUAUAUUUAAAUUAAAAAAUAAUAAAUAUAUAAGGUAAUAAACAUUAUAACGAGUUUUUAUUUUAAAAUUGUAAACUUUUUUUCCGACAAUAACUCUUAUAUUAAUUUAUUUAUUUUGCCUUUUAUUCAUAAGUUUUAUGCAUAAUCUACAAAUUUUAUGUUUUAUUUUGCAUUUAAUGUUGAUUUUCUUUUUUUAUAUUAUACGUAUAAGUUUUCAUUUUAUUUACCAGUAAUACAUCUAUUUAUCAGUUUUAUAGUAAUUUACUUAUUUUACCUACCUUUUACAAUUCUUAUGUUUCAUUUCCAAAAUUUAUGUUUUAUUUUACAGUUGUUGAUGAUUUGCUAGUUUUAUGUUAUGUUUGCAAGUUUUUGUUUUGUUUACUAGUAAUAGAUUAAUGGGUAAUUUUUAAUUGAGUCCUCAUUAGUUCUAGAAAAAAAAUUCAGAGACCAGAAGUUUACUAAAUGAAUCAAUUAAAUUCUUUCAAGUACAAACUAAUGUCAUUCAAGUCCUUAACUUAAUUGCUCAGUUAAAAAUAUUAACAACGUUGAGGACAUUUUAGUAAAACAACAAUUGAGUUGUUUCUCAUUCUUUAUUUUUGACAGGUGGAAAUAGUUUAAAGUAAACUCAAUUAACCUGAUUAAGUUAAGGAUCAGUUCUUUCAAAUGAAAAAAAAAAAACCUAUAGAAAUUGCCAUAUUCUUCAUGUGAGAGGAGAGAUCGAGAGAACGUGGGAUGGUGCAAAAAAUGUUGUAUAAAUCUACUGUGAUUUUGACCAAAGCUUUGGUAGCAUUGAUUGAGUUCAAGUACUAGAGAGAACCUGAGUUUAAAGGUUAGUAACUCUAUUUUUUUAGUGAUUUCUGCAAGAAUUUUCUGAUAAAAUUUUUUCCAUAUUGAGUGAUCGUUGUGAAAAAUUAGGUUUUUCAAGUCUAUUUUUCAAAAUGACAAACUAUGUUUAAUUAUUGAUGGAUUCUUUUUUUUGUUCAAUGUUGUAUUUUGUUAAUUUGUUGUUUUUAAUUUGCUCUUUAUGUAAUUGUUAGACCAAAUACACCAUUAUUAUACCUGUAUUCAUUUCAACAAUUUGGUAUCGUUAUAUUAAUAAGAUUGAAUUCAUUGUAUUGGCUUCUUUGUUCAUGUAAAAUUGAAUUCUAUGUAUUCUUAUGAGUGAUAAUUUUUCUAUCUAUUAGACUAAAGUCACUAUAUUCACUACUUUCUUUCUUUUUGCUGGGCUAUUUUUUCUUUUUAGUUUAUAUUUUUUAUAUGUAUUAGAUUGAAUUUGCUUUUGUACAUUUUUUAGCCGAAUUACAUGUAUAUUUCAUUUAGGUUGAGUUUUUUUGUUGUUUGCUAAAUAAAAUUAUAUUGGUUUAUCCUUUUUUGAUGCAAUACUUUUUGUUUAAAAUUAAUGCAGGUAGCCAUGUUACCCUUUUUUGGGUUAAAAUUAAUGGGGUGAUGUAUGCGAUAAGAUUAUUAGGCUGUUUCUUGAAAUUCAAGAUGCCAUGAUUAAGCAUGGACACAGUGAAAUGGAUUUGAUUGAAAUUUCUGUUGUAUUGCCAUGGACUACAAGUAGGCAGAGGAAGCUAAUUUCAAACGAUAGUGAAUUGUAUUGGGUUUUCGAGGAGUUUUUUUUUAUCAAUAGUUGUCCUACAUUGAGUUUGAGGUGCACACUAGGUCAGGUGGUCAGUCAUUUCAUGAAAGUGUUGUAAUAGGACCUAAAAAUCCUGUCAAUAUUAAAAUUAGUGUUGUAAUAGUGAUAAGUUUGAAAUUCCUGUAGCUAAAAAGGGCCUGCCUAGAAUAAUUGGUACUUUUUUAUUUGCCUCAAAGUCCAACACUAUGAAAUCCACUAGGAAAAAGAAUUUAUCCACUUUAAUCGGCACGUCUUCAAUCUUGCCUUCAGGAUAAGCAUGAGAUCUGGCAGCACAUUGCAAUGUCACUGUGGUUGGUCUGACUUCUCCAACUCCCAAUUGCUUGAAUUAUGAUAAUGUCAUAAGAUUGAUGCUUGCUCCCAAAUCACAAAGUGUAUUGCCACUGUAUUUAGUUCCUAUGGAAUAAUGAAUUGUGAUACUUCUUGGAUCCUUUAACUUCUGAGGUAUUUUACUCUGAAGCAUAUGGCUGUAUUCUUAUGUUAGACCAACUAUUUCAAAUUCUCCAAGCCUCAUUUUCCUUGCCAAUAUACAUUUCCAAAACUUUACAUAAUUUGGCAUUUGUUCUAAUACUUCCACAAAAGGAAUGUUGAUAUGCAGUUGUUUCAAUACUUUCAAGAAUUUACUGAACUGCUUGUCUUGCUUUCGCUUUUGAAAUCUUUGUGGGAAGGGUGGUGGAUGUGUAAAUUGUUGUACUGUAGCAGACUAUACAGAUUGCUUUUCUCUUGCUCUAUUAUGGUAUGUUAUUGUUGGUGCUGCAGCUUCUUCCUCAACAAGCACUGAAUCAUGUUUUUUUGCAGUUGCUAUAGCUUAGCAACUCUCACUAGUGUGCUGGAAAAUGGGUUGUUGUGUCUCUUCUUUAAUUUGAGUUUCCCCUUGGGUUGAAUUAGGUUCCACUCUUUUUUUUGGUACUUUAACAAGAAUAUGGACAUCCUUUCCAGACUUUAAGUUAAUCCCCUUACAAUGCUCUUUUCCUUCUCUCUUUGGAUCCUCUAUAUUGUUUAGUAAAUUAUCCUGAGGUAUGUUGCUCAAUGCUGUAGCAAGCUGUCCAAUCUUAUUCUCCAAGUUUCUUAAAAAUACAGCUUGGCUUUAGACCACUACUUCAAUCUUCACAAUAUACUCCUUAAUCAGAGUUUCAAGGGAACUAAAUUGAUCAUUACUGGUGUUUCUUUACCCUUAAAAUUGCUGGUGAAAACCAGGUGGCUGAGCAAGUCUGUUAUGUCCACUGGAUGCUGCAGCAUGCUGAUUCUGAUUGCUCCAUGAAAAAUUUAGGUGAUGUCUCCAUCCAAUGUUAUAGGUGUUUGAAAAUGGAUUGCUUGGAUUUUGUUUAUUAAAAUUGCCCACAUAAUUGACUGAAGCUGAAUUCUUAGGACAAUUAUCAUAUAGAUGUCCCUCUCUAUAAUAAACACAAGAGACUUCAGCAACUUGGUUAAAUGUUGCUGGAACAGUGGCCGUUGCUUUUACCAUAUUUGUCAAUGAGGUUACUUGGGUUGUUAAUGUUGUCAGUGCAUCCACAUUGUGUUCUCCUGCUGCUCCUCUCACUGUGGCUUGUCUAGUUGAUGGCCAUUGAUAGUUAUCCUUUCCAAAAUUUCAUAAGCCUCAUUAUAUGAGUUAGACAAUAAAGCCCCUAGUGCUUGAGUUCAACCCAUUGUAGAAAGUUUCCAAUUGUAUGCAAUAAGGAAUACCAUGAUGAGGGCAUCUCCUGAGUAACUCCUUGAAUCUUUCUCAUGCAUCAUACAAGCUUUCAUCUUCAAGUUGAUGGAAAGAUGUGAUCUCAUUCUUCAACUUUGCAUUCUUUGUUGGUGGGAAAUAUUUCAUCAAAAUUUUGUCAGCCAAAUCAUUCCAUGUGGUGAUGGAGUCUGGUGGCAAAGAACUCCACUAUACCAACUAAAAUUGAUUUCACAAAACACAAUAAGCACCAAUCCCCGGCAACGGCGCAAAAAACUUGCUGUCGAUUUUCUAAUGUUAUUAGUGUCAAUGUGAAAAUGUAGACAACAAGUAAUAUAACGAUAAAAAUUCAAGAUCGUCUCCACAAGGAUUAUUAUUAUAGGAAUUGUUACAGUAAUUUUAUCAGUGCCAUUCUUAUUAUAAAUUAGAAUUAAAACAAAUUAUUCAACUAAUGAACUAAGGCAGAUCUUAUUGGGCUAGUCGGCAAUGUGUUGCUUUAGGUCGUGUGGAAUAGUUGCGGGAGUGAUCUUGCAUGAUGUGUGGAGCUAUAACAGUGCUGAGCAUGGGCCAAUCUAUGGGCUCAUGGAACUAGCGAACCUAUUCUAGAAUUUCGAGGAAGAGUACUCUGGUUAGUACUCUAAAUUACCUUAUUAUAUUUUGCACAAACAGAGGCAUGUUAGUGAAAUAAUAUCUAACCAACCCAAGAGGGGGGUGAAUUAGGUUUCUAAAAAUUAUGCAAUUCUUAAUCAAAACUUAAUGCAAAUCUUAAACGAAUCUAAAGCAAUAAUAAAUAAAUCAACCAAAAUAUAAAAAGAUAAAGGAAGAGAGAUUAAAACACAGAGAGUUUUACGUGGUUCGGCCAACCUUGCCUACAUCCACGCCUCUAAGCACACCGAGCUUGGGCAUUCCACUAGUCAAGCCUUCAAGACUUCAAGAACACUUACAAUUGACUUCUUAGGCGUCAAUCAACCUUUACAUCUAGAGAUUAUCUCCAAUCUCUUAACCCAAGUGUAUCCCCAAUCUUUUAGAGAGAUAUGGAGAGAAUAAACUUUGAAGAUAACAAUGAAAUACAUGACACAUUUAAGGAAGAAAAUAUAAUAGUAUUAAUAGAAUCUAUUUUAACCGGUCUUAAGAUAAUUCAAGAUUGAUGCAAAAUAAAUAACAGGACUCUAAACCGUCCAUAAUAAGUCUAUUGAUUAAUAAUAACAAUAAUAGUGAUGUGAAAUUUUUUAUUCUGAAUGCUCAAUUUAGAUUAUAAUAUCUAUGUGAAAGCAUUGAUGGCAUGUACCUUGGUUGGGAAAAUAGAUUGGACACAUGGAUAUAUAUGUUGGAAGAACAAAUCUAGUUUAUAUCUCAAGAGAGACAAUAAAUUAUGAAUGCCGGUGCUAUAGUAUAUUCAGGUUUUAUAAAUCUUUAUAAAUUUAAUAAUCAUUUAGAUCUUCAUAAUAUUAUAAUAAAACUUUAAAUAUAUAUGUAGAAGAGAUGGAAGAAGAAAUCAUCCAGUUAUUCAAAAUCAAUUAAACAAAAAUAGAAGGUAAAAUCCUUGAAUUAUAUAAAUUAUACAAUUUCACAUAAAUUUUGCAUAUAUUGCAAAACGGUCCUUGUGGCACUAAUUAUGGGACUAGUGUAGCAUAAAUACUAAUAUUGCUUUUUAUUUUGUAAAUUAAUUGUUGCGUCAUAAUUUUUUUACAUACAAAUUUUAUGUUUUAAAAUAUGAUUUUUUUUUGUAUUUAGGGUUAAUUUUACAAUUUCAUACUUUGUUCAAUUAUAUGUACAAGUCCUUAACGUGUUGGUUGAUGUUGAAUAUUCAAAGAUCCACAAGCUAUCAACGACAACGAAUCAAAUUAAACUAAUUUGUUAAUACAUAAUGACUAGGUUGUUUCCUAUGCUUGUUAAUGAUGUAGGACGUUAUUUUAGGAUUUUAGAAUUUUAAUUUUUAGGUCUUCUGAUAUUUUCUUUUUUAAUUAAAGUAAGUGUCUUAGUUUUCUUUUAUUUAUGUUAUAAUUAUAAUUUACUUUCUCUUUUUAAGCUAACUUAGGAAAAUAUAUUUACUGUAUUAUAAAUAAAGAGAUCUUGUUAUUACUUUAUAACUUCAAUUUUAGUUAUUCAAUUAAAAACCCCUCUUUUAUAAUUUCCUUUUGUAUUAUCUAUUAAAAACCCCUCUUUUAAAGUUGUUUGAUUAGAGCAUCAUCUAGCUUUGCUUAACGCAGUAUUAAAAAUCCCUUUGAGUUUAAUCACACUUCGAUUAGAGCGUAACUUUAUCGCAUUGACUUGAUCCAGUACUUGAACGAUAUCUACUGUUUUGCUUCUGCUAUGCCCAAGGAGAAAAUUAAUUUCACCGUGAGAUAAGAGCAUUAAAAGGAAUUCAUAAGAAAUUUAAAUUAAAGCUAUGUUAAAUAUAUCGCUAGCUACUUGUUUUUGGAGGAAUUAAAACAAUUAAUAAGCUGCGAAGUGAAAAUGAAUAAAUAAAUGAAAUGACGUUGAAAAUAAGUCUCGCCGCCUGGAUCCAAGGCCAAAACAUUCAUGAUAAGUUAGGUAAUUAAGUACAUGUUUUCAAGCUCUUCAUGAAGAAUAACGUUAUUGAAAUAAAUCACAAAGACCCCUGCGCAAAUUAUUACAUUGAUUAAAAAACAAAAAAGCCAUAUCUUUAACAGGAUCGUGACUCUCGGACUGUUAAUUACUUUAUUCCCUGCUUGGCCAACAGCUGGCCACUAAACAAAAUCAUAUAAAUUUUAAAUUUAGUCAAAUUGGUCCCACUUGAUGACAUCCUUUUCAUACAUAAAAUUGUUUAACGUCAAGGUUAAAUAUGAGAAGUUUGUAGAGAAGGUAAAAAGGAAGUCUAUAUAAGGAGGGGAACGAGCUUUGUUUAUAGCACAAGUGAAACUCCACUUUAUUGAACGAUGGGGUCUCAAAUGGGCUGCCUCUUUGCCACUCUUUUGGUAGUAUCAGUCUCUCUUAGCUACUUGCCGUUAGAAGCCUCCGCAAACAAAUACUACUACACAUCUCCUCCCCCUCCCAAGUACAAGUCUCCACCACCCCCGCCACCGGUUCACAAUUCUCCACCACCACCCCCUGUUUACCUGCCCCCGCCACCUCCUCCACCAGUCUACGUGCCUGCUCCGGCACCAACUCCAAUUUCCUAUUCCCCGCCACCUCCUGUCCCCAAGUCCCCACCACCACCUCACCCUUACGUCUAUGCAUCUCCCCCUCCUCCUUACUACUACUAGAAAGCGGCCAUGAAUAGCUCAUGCUUUUAUGGUAAUCUCAUUUAUUUUUAAAACUGUACAUGUAAAGACUAGUAGUUCAGAAUUACAUUAAGCAUUUCAAUUUUAAGCACCGUGUUCUGUUUAAUUGCGUUCCUAUUGAUUAAGUGACAAAUAAAAGAGAUUGAUUAAUUUGUUCUUGUAGGAGAGGCGAAUGGUAUCCGAAUAAAGAAAGCAAGGGUUUGAUGGAAGGCUUACUUGGAGCAAGAUAGCGAUCAAUCGAGUUGCUGCGUUUUAUUCUCUUUUAUCUUUGUUUUUUAAGAAAAAUAAACUGCCACGCGUAGAAACAGAAAAUUAAGUUCUUGUCAUUUUCAUGCAUAUGGAUUGUUGAUGUGUGUGUCAAUCAAAUCUCCGGUGUGUCAUUUGUAAUUUUCAACCUUUAUGCAUGCAAAUGGGAGACCUCUUACGUAUAAUAAAAUUAAUAUACUUCCCAAGAUGGUCUUAUCUUGCGUUGACUUUUUACGUUCCUUUGGUGAUGAUUUUGAAUGCCAAAAGCGUGGUCAUGGAUUUUUCGUGCAACUACAGAGCACAUUAACGAGAGACUUAUCCAUGAGGGUCCAUGCAGAUCAGUGUCUAAUUAACCAAUAAUUAAUAUAACUUAAAAAAUAUAGAGUUAACAAUUUUUAUGGGUCAGGCUCAAUUAUAGAUGUUCGUACAAAAUUUCUUGCUAAUGUAUACUUGAGUAUGAUAAUAAGUUUUAAUCAUUAUUAGUAAUUCACUUGAUAAUAUUAAACAAAUUUUCAUAUCAAUUAAGUUACAAAAUUUCUGUGACAAAUUUCCACGUACUGGAACCAUGCAAAAGGGCUUUGUUCAAACAGAGCUGCAUAGCCGUUGGCAAUUAAAAUUAUUUAUCAAUAAAGUUAAGUAGUAAGAAUUGGAUUGUGGAUUCCAUUAAUUAUUUCAAGGAAAAUUUUAUAGAUAAUGCCGUAAUGAAAUUUACGGCAUCAAUAUCAUGAUAAAUAUAAAUAUUGUAAAUUACAAAUAGAAUUAGUAAAUGUAAAGUAAAACCAGUAAAUUCAUAAAAGAUUAUUAAUUAUUUAAAAAAUUAACAUUGUUUCUACAUAAUUUUAGUGAAAAAUAUUUUAUUCAUUUACAAAAAAAAAUUCUUUAAUUAAACAAAAAAAAUUCAUUAAUUAAGCAAAAAAAUUAUACUGAAAAAAAAGUGGAAUAAGUUUUUUUAUCAGUGGUGUGGACUUUGUAAACUUUUCAUCCUUAAUUAAACAUCACAUGUAUUAUAGAAAUGCAAAACUACCAUUGUUAUAUUUAAAUUAAAAAAUAAUAAAUAUAUAAGGUAAUAAACAUUAUAACGAGUUUUUAUUUUAAAAUUGUAAACUUUUAUUUCUGACAAUAACUCUUAUAUUAAUUUAUUUAUUUUGCCUUUUAUUCAUAAGUUUUAUGCAUAAUCUACAAAGUUUAUGUUUUAUUUUGCAUUUAAUGUUGAUUUUCUUUUUUUAUAUUAUACGUAUAAGUUUUCAUUUUAUUUACCAGUAAUACAUCAAUUUAUCAGUUUUAUAGUAAUUUACUUAUUUUACCUUCCUUUUAUAAUUCUUAUGUUUCAUUUCCAAAAUUUAUGUUUUAUUUUACAGUCGUUGAUGAUUUACUAGUUUUAUGUUAUGUUUGCAAGUUUUUGUUUUGUUUACUAGUAAUAGAUUAAUGGGUAAUUUUUAAUUGAGUCCUCAUUAGUUCUAGAAAAAAAAUUCAGAGACCAGAAGUUUACUAAAUGAAUCAAUUAAAUUCUUUCAAUUACAAACUAAUGUCAUUCAAAUCCUUAACUUAAUUGCUCAGUUAAAAAUAUUAACAACGUUGAGGACAUUUUAGUAAAACAACAAAUGAGUCGUUUCUCAUUCUUUAUUUUUGACAGGUGGAAAUAGUUUAAAGUAAACUCAAUUAACCUGAUUAAGUUAAGGAUCAGUUCUUUCAAAUGAAAAAAAAACCUACAGAAACUGCCAUAUUCUUCGUCUGAGAGGAGAGAUCGAGAGAACGUGGGACGGCGCAAAAAAUGUUGUAUAAAUCUACUGUGAUUUUGACCAAAGCUUUGGUAGCAUUGAUUGAGUUCAAGUACUGGAGAGAACCUGAGUUUAAAGGUUAGUAACUCUAUUUUUUUAGUGAUUUCUGCAAGCAUUUUCUGAUAAAAAUUUUUCCAUAUUGAGUGAUCGUUGUGAAAAAUUAAGUUUUUCAAGUCUAUUUUUCAAAAUGACAAACUAUGUUUAAUUAUUGGUGGAUUCUUUUUUUUGUUCAAUGUUGUAUUUUGUUAAUUUGUUGUUUUUAAUUUGCUCUUUAUGUAAUUGUUAGACCAAAUACACCAUUAUUAUACCUGUAUUCAUUUCAACAAUUUGGUAUUGUUAUAUUAAUAAGAUUGAAUUCAUUGUAUUUGCUUCUUUGUUCAUGUAAAAUUGAAUUCUAUGUAUUCUUAUGAGUGAUAAUUUUUCUAUCUAUUAGACUAAAUUCACUAUAUUCACUACUUUCUUUCUUUUUGCUGGGCUAUUUUUUCUUUUUAGUUUAUAUUUUUUAUAUGUAUUAGAUUGAAUUUGCUUUUGUGCGUUUUUUAGCCGAAUUACAUGUAUAUUUCAUUUAGGUUGAGUUUUUUUGUUGUUUGCUAAAUAAAAUUAUAUUGGUUUAUCCUUUUUUGAUGCAAUACUUUUGUUUAAAAUUAAUGCAGGUAGCCAUGUUACCUUUUUUUCGGUUAAAAUUAAUGGGGUGAUGUAUGCGAUAGGAUAUAGGGAACCAGAGGAAUAUAAGAUUAUUAGGCUGUUUCUUGAAAUUCAAGAUGUCAUGGUUAAGCAUGGACACAGUGAAAUGGAUUUGAUUGAAAUUUCUGUUGUAAUUUUUUCUCAAAAUCGGAUUUUGAAAAAAAUAUUAUUUUAAUAUCUUUUAUAGUUGUUUUAAGAUGAGGUUAUUUUACAUCUUUCUACACUUCUUCAGCAACAACCUUAAAUGGUCUCCAAAUACAAGUAAAAAGUUUGAAACUACAUAAAGUAUACAUAAUAUUCAAAAUUAGAUCUAAUUUUAUUGAUAUCUCUUUGUGUUUUUUUACUUGAUCCACAUCAAGAUAAAUAAUUGCACUUAAUUAACAUGUGUAAUAAAUAGAUAUCAUUAUAGAAAAUGGGAAAAAAAUGUAUACAAAUGUCCUAGACUAAAUAUAGAAUUUAUUGAAGAUUGAAAAUUACAAUCUUCAAUCUCAUCGGGAGUCUUUAUGGAAUCCAGCACAUUGAUUGUAACUUGCUGGUCAUUCACCCUCAUGGUUAAUUCUCCCUUUUGAACAUUAAUUAAAGUCUUUCUCGUGGCUAAGAAAGGUCUCCCUACAAUGAUUGACACUUCUUUGUCUGCCUCAAAGUCUAGCACAAUGAAAUCCACCGGAAAAAUAAAUUUAUCCACCUUCACCAACACAUCUUCAAUCUUUCCUUUUGAAUAGGCAUGAGAUCUGUCAGCAAGUUGUAGAGUCACUGUUGUUAGUCUACAUUCACCAACUCCCAAUUGCUUAAAUACUGAUAAAGGCAUGAGGUUGAUGCUAACCCCCAGAUCACAAAGUGUUUUGCCACUGUAUUUAGUGCCUAUGGAGCAUGGGAUUGUGAAGCUUCUUGGAUCCUUCAUCUUUUGUGGUAUCUUACUCUGAAGCAUUCGGCUGCACUCUUACGUUAGAGCAACUGUUUCAAACUCUCCAAGUCUUCUUUUCUUUGUCAAAAUAUCCUUUAAAAGUUUCGCAUAAUUUGGCAUUUGCUCUAGAGCUUCCACAAAAGGGAUAUUGAUAAAUAGUUGUUUCCGGCACUCCCAAGAUUUUGCUGAACUGCUUGUCUUGUUUUUUCUUCUGAAACCUUUAAGGAAAGGGUGGUGGAUGUUUAAAUUGUUGUGCUGCAGCAGGUUGUGCAGACUGCUUCUAUUUUGCUUUACUCGGGUCUGUUGUUGCAAUCUCGUUAUCCACAGGUGUUGGAUCAUCAUUUUUGGCAAAUGCUGCAGCUUGACUGCUCUCACCAGUGAGCUGUGAAGUUGAGGAUUGUGGCUCUUUUUCAAUUUGAGUUUCUUUCUGGAUUGAAGUGGACUCAACUCUUCUUUUUGAUACACCAACGGGACUAUGAACAUCCUUUCCAGAUCUCAAAUUAAUCACUUUGCAGUGCUCUUUCCCUUCUCUUCUUAGGUCCUCUGUAUUACUGGGUAAACUACCUUGAGGUCUGUUGCUCAAUGUUGUAGCAAGCUGUUCAAUUUGAUUUUCCAAGUUUCUCAAAGAUACAAUAUAACUUUGGACAACUACUUCAUUCUUCACAAUAUAAUCCUUAAUCAAACCUUCAAGGGAGCUGAGUUGAUCAUUGUUGAUGCUUCUUUGCUCUUGAUUUUGCUGAUAAAAUCCACUAGGUGCUGCAGCAGUCUGGUUCUGACAACCCCAUGAAAAGUUCGGAUGUUGUCUCCAUCCAGGGUUGUAAGUGUUUGAAUAUGGAUUGCUAUGGUUCUGUCUAUUGAAGCUGCCCACAUAAUUGACUGAAGCUGGAUUCCCAGAACAAUUGUCAAAUAAAUGUCAUUCUCCACAAUAAACACAAGACACAUUAGAAAUUUGGUUAACAGUUGCUGGAGCACUGGUCAUACCUUUCACCAUGUUUGUUAAUGAAGUUACUUGGGUUGACAAUACUGUCAAGGCAUCUACGUUAUGAACUCAUGAUGUUCCUCUUGCAGCAGCUUGUCUGGUUGACGGCCACUGAUAGUUAUUGUUGGCUAUUCUCUCCAAAAUUUCAUAAGCCUCAUUAUAAGACUUAGAUAAUAAGGCCUCAUUUGCUGAAACGUCCACCAUCAAUCUAGUACUUGGGUUGAGACCAUUAUAGAAAGUUUCCAAUUGUAUGCAACAAGGAAUACCAUGAUGAGGACAUCUCCUGAGUAACUCCUUAAAUCUCUCUCAUGCAGCACACAAGCUCUCAUCUUCAAGUUAAUGGAAAGAUGUGAUCUCGUUCCUCAACUUUGCAUUCUUGGUUGGCGGGAAGUAUUUCAUCAAAAACUUUUUAGCCAAAUCAUUACAUGUAGUGAUAGAAUCUGGUGGUAGAGAAUUCGACCAUGCUCUUGCUUGGUCUCUCAAAGAAAAAGGGAAAAGUUUGAGUCUCAAUGCUUCCUGCGAUGCUCCAGCAAUCUUGAAAGCAUCACUUACUUCCAAAAAUAACUUAAGGUAUAGAUGAGGAUCUUUGAAUGGCAAACCAUUAAAUUGCCCCACUGUUUGAAGCAUUUGAAACAUCACGGGUUUGAGUUCAAAAUUGUCAGCUUGAAUGUCGGGUCUAACUAUUCCCGGAUGUAUGGCUUGAGGAGUCAACACUACGUAAUCUCGAAUGGCUCUAUCUAUAUCGUUCGCCAUGUGAAUAAUGUUGUUGUUCCCCGGUUGCCUUUGAACACAUUGUCCAUUCAGACCUUCAUGUACAUUGACUGGUUGUAUCUCCUCUCUACAGUUCAAGUUUCUCAAAUCUUGGAAUUCAUCUAUUAUUACAGCAGCUUGUAAUUCCUGAUGCUCUCUUCUCAAUCUCCUUACAGUUCGUUCAAUUUCUGGAUCAAACUGGAAUUCAAUAGAUUUAUAUUUGCGCAUGCAACGGUUGUUAGAUCACCUAUGUCAACAAAAUAAACAAAUCAAAAUAAAAUUAAAAAUUAGCACCGUUAAAACUAAUUUCACAAAUCACAAUGAAUAAUCAAUCCCCAGCAACGGCGCCAAAAACUUGUUGGGUAAAAAUACUAAUGCUAUUGGUGUCAAUGUGCAAGUGUACACAACAAGUAAUAUAAUUAUGAGUAUUCAAGAUCGUCUCCACAGGAAUUAAUAUUAUUAGAUUUGCUACAGCAAUCCCAACAGUGCAGAUUUUGUUUUAAUGAUCAAUUUAGUUCCUUUGAAACUCUGAUUAUCAAUUAAAAUAAAAAUGCAAUAAAUAAAAUGUAACAAAGUAAAUUAUCACGUCAAACUCAAAGAUAAAACCAAUAGAAAUAUAGAGUAGUUGAGUGAAUAAACUCUCCUAAUGGUCUUGACUAUUUUCUAAUUGUUGGCUUGGUUGCUGCAGUAUCUACUACAACACUGGGCAGAAUCCUUAUGCAUCUUCAGCCGUCGCAUGUUGGAUAUCUUAUAUCUAUAUGCAACCUAACAGUGAUCAGUUAUUAUGCCAACAUAAAAUAUAGCAUUACACACUUUGGUUCUAUUUACCCUACAAGGUGAAUCCCUAUGUCUAGUUCAUCACUAAUCUUAAAUCAAGCAUGACCCUUUUGGGACUCAAGUAAAACUCAAUCCAGGAAACUCAAUUUAAGAUCAAGUAUUGCUUUGAUAUAUUCCACUCAGAUAAGCCCUUUUGUGGCUCUUCCUUAGCUAGUAUCAUUAAAUGGGUGAUCAGCCGAAAUAAUGAAUAAAAAUAAAUUCUAUCAAAACAAAAUGCUACAGCAAACAUGCAUCAACUCAUAUUUUCAGUCAAUAAACCAUCAAGAUUGUUUAUUACUCAACCACAAAUAAAUUUAGUUCAUGAUUUGCAAAAGAAAAAUAAAGAACAAAGUUUCGUCCAUGAAACACAUCCCCAUGAAUAAAUAGAAAACACGAAAAUAAGAGAAGGAUAAGAAGGAUUGAGCUCCCAAUUGAUCUCUGCAAUUUUCAUUUCUCAUCAAACAACUCUCUUUUAGAAUGGAUAUACAAAUGAUAGCUCAGUGAAGAUUUAAUCUAUGAUGAUUUACGAAAUUGAAGCUCAAUAUAUGUUGUGUGCACUUGUUUAUGCUUUCAAGAUUACCAAAAAUGAAUUGGAUUUGAGUUUAUAUAGUUUGAGCCCAAAAACUAGCCGUUAUAGACUAAUUUUUUGUGAUAACUGGCUUGCUGCUUUGUGAAUCUGGUUAGCCAUUUUUAUGUUACUGUUACAGCAAAUAUUUGAAUUUUGGAACAUCUAGCAUGCUGCUUUCGGAAUCCGGUUAGUCGCUUUCAUUCCAGUGAGCUACUGCCCAUAAUCUGACUUGCCGCUUUGUAAAAUCUUGUUAGUCGCAUUGCUACAGUGACGACUACAGUGAACUAUUUUCUAAAAUUACAAAACGUCGUAAAACUUUGCACAAAGGUCCAAUUUUAGAAUUUCUAAAUAAUGCUUGUUAUUCCCAAAACUUUCUGAAAUUAUGAUACCGUCAAAAAUGCUAUAAAACUUUUCAAAUAAGUCCCUCUCCAGAAUUCCAAGCAAUACUUGUUGAUUUCAAAGUUUUCAAAACUCUUUCAAUUAGACCACAAACUUGAAAAACAACCAAUUUUAUAAAAUCAUUUUUUCAUUAAAUAUAAAACCUUUAUAAUGUGAAAAUAAUGAUUUAUUUAAAAUGUAUAAAAAAUAAUUUGAACUUUUAAAGACUUAAUCAUUCUUAAUUUUAUUUGUUAUCAUCAAAAUCAACAUUAUGAAUACAUAAAUGUUAACAAUCUCCCGCUUUUUGAUGAUGACAUAAUUUUCAUGUAUUUAAAGAAUGAUUGCACAAAUUGCUCCUCCUAAAUGUAAGCUCCCCUUACAAUUUGAACUUAAAAGAUUAAUAAUUCUUAAUAUUGUUUGUUAUCAUCAAAAUCAACACUGUGGAAACAUAAAUGUUAACAAUCUCCCCCUUUUUUAUGAUGGCAAACCUUCAUGUAUUUAAAGAAUGAUUCCACAAAUUGCUCCCCCAAAAUGUAAGCUUCUCUUACAAUUUAGCUAAAUUAACAAAUUUAAAUACAUGUAUUCUUCUCCCCCUUCAUCAUAAAAAAGAAAACUUAAUGGAAAAGAAAAAGAGUAGCAAAUUUGUUAUCCAUGUUGUUCGAGUAGAAAUUUCGAUAGAAUCUCCCCAUAACAACAAGCAUCACCUCAAAUACAAGUUUAAUAAUAUUACUCCUAAAUUAUUAUAAAUCAUGAUACAAGCCAACUUCAUAUACAAAUCAUCACACAAUCCAUCAACCAUAAAAACAUCAUGAACCAUUAUUCCAUCAAUUACCAAAUCAACAACUCAUAACAUAAAAUUAUCAUGUAAAACAACCAUGUAAUCAAAUCAUCAUCAUAUCCCAAAAUCAUCAAAAUCAUCACCAUAAUCACAUAUCAAUCAUCAAAACAAUACUCAAAGUGCAUAUUAUUCUCCUCCUUUUGACAACAUCGAAAUGAUAUAUUACUUUGUCUCCCCCUUUGGACAACAAAAAAGUUCAAAAUGCAUAUUAUCCAAAAUCAUAUUGUAUGCUCCCCCUAAAUAUAUGGCCAAUUUAAAAUUUUAACCAAACUGAUUUUAUCCAAAAAUAUAUCAUAUUUAUCUCUCUCUUCAUCAUAAAAAAAAAAAGAUAGAUAUAUGCAAUCGAAACAAGAUCAUCAAAAAUAAUUCAAUGAAGAUAUUACCCAUUUUGUGCGAACAAAAAUUUUGGUAGUCUCCCCUUAAAAUUAAACAAAUCCUCAAACACACAACAUGGUUAAAAACACUUCCAUAUAAGCUUAAAUAAUUAUAACAAACCAACAACUCCAUCAAUUCAUUAAAGCAACACACAUAUAAUCAUCAAUCAUCAAAAUCAUCAAGAAAUCAAUUUUAAUAGUAUUAAUAACAUGAUUAGAGAUAUUAAUAAAUUUCAUCAUCCUAAGUUCAUGCCGAAUUUUUGAAAAUUGUUCUUCGCAAAAGGGUUUUGAUUUGUUUACCAAAUUGGCAUGCAAAAGUUAUAAGAACAUAUUAUCAACUAUCCAAGCUCCAUAAUUACUAAUCACGUUUUAGAAAUUAAGACAACUAAACUCAUCAAAGAUCUAAUGUGACAUUUCAAUAUAAUUUAAAAAUAUUAUAUGCUUAAAUUCUCGAAGUAUAUGUAUUUUUUCCUUUUUCGAUAUCAUUUAAAACAAGUAAUGCAUAUUCAACAAUACAUCGAUAAAGUAUAAAAAAUGCAUCCAUUCAUCAAUCAUAGAUUGCAUAAGAUCAAACUUCAUCAAAUACAAUGUAAUCAUCAAAGCACAUUCUUUAUCAUCAAAACUUAAGUAAAGCAUAAGUACAUAAUGACAAUAUAUAGAUCAUCAAAAUCAACAUAUAGCAAUAUAUAGAUCAUCAAAAUCAACAUAGCUAUUAAGAAAAGCCAUCAUGAUGAGCUAAACAACAAGUGAUCAAAUCCAUUAUUACAAAUGCUCACAUAGGCCAAUUUAAUAAAUGAUGAUAUAAUACAAUAAAUGACAUAUGAAUUUACACAUACAUAAGUGAUGAACGAAUAAGGAAGAUGAAUAAAUGACAUGAAACAUGAUGAUAGACAAUUAAAAAAAAAAAGAGAGAUCAAAGGUCAUACAAUCAUUGAAAUCAAACAAAGGCAUCAUGAUAAGUUUCAUGAUAAGUUGACAUGCUACCAUCAUAUAGAUUUAUCCAUACAUCAUGAUUACAUACAAUAAUAAUUCAAUUAUGUAAACGUAUGAGUAUGCUUUUGUAAAUUCAAGCUAUUAUCCAUCCAUCAUGAUUCAUUCAGCAAAAUCAAUAUGGCAAGAAUUGUUACCAAAAUAAUUAAAUCAUCUUGCCUCAUCUUUUUCUCUUAGAUCAUAAUCAAGUGAUUAUCCUCACAAUCUUUCAUCAAGGAACUCUCUACCAUUUCUUGAUUAUGGUACCUUGAUAACUCUAUAAAAUAAGAGUUAUCAUGACACUUUUAGACUUAAAUCAAUAAUAUUUCGAGAGUAAAUAAUGUGUUUUCAUUGUAUUUUUGUUUAAUUUUGCAUAAACAUUCACUUAGUUUAUUCGUAAUAAAUUAUGUUUGAUUUAGAAUAAUUUGUGUGCUAAAUCAUAUGCAUAAUUGUAGGUGUCCGGAAGCCCAAAUUUCAAUGAAAGAAUGCUGAUGCAAUAGGCUUGCAAAAGAUAGAAAAGAACUUGGCUACAAAAGAAUUGAAACAAAUCUGGAACAAUUCAGUUGUUGUAGUUAUUGCUGUAGCAACCUAGAACAACGACAGAGAAAAUUCUGCGUGGGAUAAUUGCAGAAUUGAGAUCUGAAGUUUCCUAAUCUGACUUAUGCAUGACCUAAGCUUCCGUUGCCCUAAUUUUCAAUUAUAAAAGAAGUACACAUCAUAAGGAAAAGAGGGAGCCGUCACCCAAGGAGAAAAAUAAAAAGAAACAAAAGAAAAACAAUCUCUUGAUUGUAAGGCCAUCUCCAAUGCAUAACGCCAUUUUUGUGUAACACCAACACCAAAAAUGUACCUUUUUCACACCAACUUACUGUUUCAUCUCCAACCCAUUUACACCAAAUUUUACACCAAAAAGAAUAUUCUUCUUUUUAUUCUUUUAAUUCUCAAGAAUUAAUUCAAUUAACACAAUAAAUAUUACUAUUAAUAUAGAUAAUUACGUAAUAAAUAAUUUUAUAUCGAUUAACAAAAGAAAUAUAGAAAAUUAUUAAUUUUGUAAUAUGUAAUCUAGUAAUUAAUGUUAUUGGCAUUUUAUUUUUAUUAUUAAUUUUUGUGUUGAAUAUUUUUUAUUUAAAAUUUUAGUAUAAUAUUCAAAAAUUAAAAAAAUGAAAUAAAAAGAAUAACAAAAAUAAUAAUAACUUAAAAUAUUAUAUAAAAUAGGGCAUAUAUGUAAAUAAGAAAAAGUAAUAAGGAUAUUUGGGACUUUUUUUCCGCAACACCAAAUGAAUAGUGUUGCACCAUAUUUGGUGCAAUACUAUUCAUAACACCAUUUUGGUGUUGGUUUUGGUGUUACAUUGGAGAAGCAUUUUACACCAAAAAUGGUGUCAAAAGUGAUUUGGUGAUAGGUUUGGUGCUACAUUGGAGAUGCCCUAAAGGUCCAUUGACACCUUGGAAGUCAAUUGUAAAGAACUUGAAGCCUUGAGAUGCUUGGAUAGUGAAAUCCUCAAGCCGGGUGAGCUUAGAGGUGUGGACGUAGGCGGGGAUUGCCGAACCACGUAAAAAUCAUUGUGUUUGUUUUCUCUUCCCUUACUCUCUUAUUAUUAUGCUGUAUUGAAUUUAUUAUUUUUUAUUCCAUUAAUACAUUAGAUUAAAUUAUUUUGUGGUUUGCUUAUCUUAAAUUUUAAAAUUCUAAUUCACCCCCCUCUUGGGUUGCCUAGUUAGUGUUUCAGAAAUAUAUGACAACUUUAAGGAAGAAAAUAGAAUAGUAUUAAUAGAAUCUAUUUUAACCAGUCUUGAAAUAAUUCAAGACAGAUGCAAAAUAUAUAACAAGACUCUAAAUCGUCCAUAAUAAGUCUAUUGAUGAAUAAUAACAAUAAUAGUGAUGUGAAAUUUUUUAUUCAGAAUGCUCAAUUUAGAUUAUAAUAUCUAUAUGAAAGCAUUGAUGGCAUGUACCUUGGUUGGGAAAAUAGAUUGGACACAUUGAUAGAUAUGUUGGAAGAAAAAAUCUAGUUUAUGUCUCAAGAGAGACAAGAAAUUAUAAAUGCCGGUGCUAUAGUAUAUUUGGAUUUGAUGAUCAUUUAGAUCUUUAUAAAAUUAUAAUAAAACUUUAAAAAUAUUUAAAAAUAUAUGUAGAAGAGAUGGAAGAAGAAAUCAUCCAGUUAUUCAAAAUCAAUUAAACAAAAAUAAAAGGUAAAAUCCUUGAAUUAUAUAAAUUAUACAAUUUCACAAAAAUUUAGCAUAUAUUGCAGAAAGGUCCUUGUGGCAUAGAUUAUGGGACUAGUGUAGCAUAAAUACUAAUAUUGUUUUUUAUUUUGUAAAUAAAUUAUUGCGUCAUAAUUUUUUUACAUACAAAUUUUAUGUUCUAAAAUAUUAAUUUGUUUUUGUAUUUAGAGUUAAUUUUAUAAUUUCAGACUUUGUUCAACUAUAUGUCCAAGUCCUUCACGUGUUGGUUGAUGUUGAAUAUUCAAAGAUCCACAAGCUAUCAACAACAACAAAUCAAAUUAAACUAAUUAGCUAACACAUAAUGAUUGGGUUGUUUCCUAUGCUUGUUAAUGAUGUAGAACAUUAUUUUAGAAUUUUAGAAUUUUAAUUCUUUAGGUCUUUUGAUAUUUUUUUUAAUUAAAGUCAGUGUCUUAGACUUUUAUUUCUAUUAUAAUUAUCAUUUACUUUCCCUUUUAAGUUAACUUAGGAAAGUAGAUUUACUCUAUUAUAAAUAAAGAGAUCUUGUUAUCACUUUUAUAACUUCAACUUCAAUUAUUCAAUUAAAAACCCCUCUUUUAUAAUUUCCUUUGGUAUUAUCUAUUAAAAAUUCCUCUUUGAGAGUUGUUUGAUUAUAGCAUCAUCUAGCCUUGCUUAACGCAGUUUUAAAAAUCUCAUUGAGUUUAAUUACAUUUCGAUUAGAGCGUAACUUAAUCGUAUUGACUUGGUCCAGUACUUGAACCAUAUCUAGUGUUUUGCUUCCGCUACGCCCAAGGAGAAAAUUAAUUUCACCGUGAGAUAAGAGCAUUGAAAGGAAUUCAUGAGAAAUUUAAAUUAAGCUUUGUUAAAUAUAUCGCUAGCUACUUGUUUUUGGAGGAACUAAAACAAUUAAUUAGCUACGAAGUGAAAAUAAAUAAAUAAAUGAAAUCAAGUUGAAAAUAAAAUAAGUUUCGCCGCCUGGAUCCAAGGCCAAAACAUUCAUGAUAAGUUAGGUAAUUAAGUACAUGUUUUCAAGCUCUUCAUGAAGCAUAAUGUUAUUGAAAUAAAUCACAAAGACUCCCUGCGCACAUUAUUACAUUGAUUAAAAAACAAAUGCCAUAUGUUUAACAGGAUCGUGACUCUGGGACUGUUAAUUACUUUAUUCCCUGCUUGGCCAACAGCUGGCCACUAAACAAAUCAUAAAAAUUUUAAAUUUAGUCAAAUUGGUCCGACUUGAUGACAUCCUUUUCAUACAUAAAAUUGUUUAACGUCAAGGUUAAAUAUGAGAAGUUUGGUAGAGAAGGUAAAAGGGAAGUGUAUAUAAGGAGGGGAACGAGCUUUGUUUAUAGCACAAGUGAAACUCCACUCUAUUGAACGAUGGGGUCUCAAAUGGGCUGCCUCUUUGCCACUCUUUUGGUAAUAUCAGUCUGUCUUAGCUACUUGCCGUUAGAAGCCUCCGCAAACAAAUACUACUACACAUCUCCUCCCCCUCCCAAGUAAAAGUCUCCACCACCCCCGCCACCGGUUCACAAUUCUCCACCACCACCCCCGAUUUACAUGCCCCCGCCACCUCCUCCACCAGUCUACCUGCCUGCUCCGGCACCAACACCAAUUUCCUAUUCCCGGCCACCUCCUGUCCCCAAGUCCCCACCACCACCUCACCCUUACGUCUAUGCAUCUCCCCCUCCUCCUUACUACUACUAGAAAGCGGCCAUGAAUAGCUCAUGCUUUUAUGGUAAUCUCAUUUAUUUUUAGGCACCGUGUUCUGUUUAAUUGCGUUCCUACUGAUUAAGUGACAAAUAAAAGAGAUUGAUUAAUUUGUUCUUGUAGGAGAGGCGAAUGGUAUCCGAAUAAAGAAAGCAAGGGUUUGAUGGAAAGCUUACUUGGAGCAAGUUAGCGAUCAAUCGAGUUGCUGCGUUUUAUUCUUUUUUUAUCUUUGUUUUUUAAGAAAAAUAAACUGCCACACGUAGAAAUGGAAAAGUUAUUGUCAUUUUCAUGCAUAUGGUGUUGGGAAAAUAUGCUCUUUAAAAGCAUAUGUUUUUAUUUAAUUGUAAUAAAUAAUUUUUCUAAUUAAUAAAAUAAAUGAGGUAUUUUAUUUAAAUAUUUUAAUUACAUUAAUAUUUUUAUUAAAGUCCAUUUAAUCAUAUUAUAUGUAUUUAUGUGAUCACCAUGUGGAUUCACAUAAGACAUAAAUAUAAGUUAUCUUAUGAUUAAAUAAAUUUAGUUCGCAAUUGAUCAAUAAAGUUGGGCACUUUAUUUAGGUAUAGACUGUAAUAAAUUCAUUGAAUGAUUUGUCUUAAUCAUGUAUGAAUUUAUUGAUGUAGUACGACUACAUUGAACAAGAUCACAUAUGAGAUUUAAUUAACUUUGUAAUAACUGUCAGACUUAUUAAAUCUCAUAGGCAUUGAUUUUACUGUAAUCUUAAUCUUGAGUUAAUUAUGAUUUCAUGAUUGUAAUUGUUAUUCCAUUUGAGUUACCAAUGGGCACGACACAUACUUGUGGUCAAGAUUACCCGGUAUCUUGGUGGGAGCAAUUAUGGGUAUUGGAGUUAUGGAUUAACAAUAUAGAAUUUGUACAACACAUCUCUUGAUGGGUUUUCGGCACCUGAUCAUAGAAUUCUCUGGCCAGAGUGUGUCAACAUAUUUAGUAUGUUGAAAAUGAUCAUUAGAGAAAACUAAUAAGUAUCAAGGAACAAGAUGUAAUUAAAUUGAUUGGACAGUUGAGAUAUCGAUUUAAUUAAUGAUGUGGUACAAAAGAUUGUGCAGUAAAAAAAUCAAUGUGGCUUGGGACGAGUUAUUAUUCGAGCAUACAAUUAUGGAAGUCAGUUCCAAUCUUUUAGUGGAGUAGAUUUGGAAUUAAAUAAUUGGGCUAGUUUAAUUACAGGCCUAAUUAUUGUAGCCACUAUUGUAUGUUCCCAAAUGAUCCCCGGGUUAGCUCAUUUAAUUGAGUGCACCACUACUGGAUUAAUAAGCAAGAUAACUAGCUAUUUGGGACAAAAGCCUAAAUAUAUCAUUUAGUGGGAGCCUCCAUUUAAUUAGCUUGUGUGUAAGGGGCCUAAUGUUAUUUUACAAGGUGGGUCCCCUAUAGAAAAAGCAAGUAACGUGAUUUUUGUUUUUGAUUAUUUGGAGCCUAGGAUUUUCACUAAAGCGAGAUAUAAAAAGCUUAUUUUCUCUAAAGAAAAGAGAUAGCAGCCACUUUAUACAGAUCAGAGAAAAAUAUUUUUCUCUCUAUUGUUGAGAGAAAAAUUUUCUCGUGCUAGUUGCUUUGGUAGUGAUAAAGGCGCCCACACGUCAAGUGCAGAUCAAACCUGAGUCAUAACCUGGAAGAUCAUUGGUGACAGUUCGUGAUCUAACAAGCGUGGUGGUGACGGAUCGUGAUCUAACAGACGUAGUGGUGACGGAUCGUGAUCUAGAAGCCUAAAUCACUUCAGCGGAAAAAUUUAAAUCGGAUUUUCAAGGUACGAUUUCUAGAUUACAUAUUCUUAUAUAUUAUAUGAGAACGAUCUUAAAAAGGUUUUAUAAAAAAUUUAAAAAACUGAUAUUUCCCCAACAAUUGGUAUCAGAGCCAUCUCGUAUUAAUAUAUGAAUAAAGCGUGUUUAUGAUUUGUAUUAAUUCAUGGUUAGAGGGGUGGUUUUUUAUCAGCAUGUUUUUCUCUUGAUUUAGUUUACUGUUAUAAAAAUUUUGAAAGCCAAAAUUGGCGUAGAAAAUUUGUAAAUCACUGAAGAAUAAACACUGGAAAACGAACUCAAAGAAUCGAGGCUGGAUUUUUCAGCGGCGGCCACCAACCAGCAACACAGCAGCGCACAGCAGCCAGCGCGCGCGGGAAGCGUGCCUUGUGCCUGCAACGAGUGCUGGCACAGGCUGCUCAUGCAGCAAACAGCGCGCGUGGCCAGCGUGGCCAGCAGCGCGCGCGAGUUUGGUGCAUUUUUGGCGACGCGACGAUCGAUGGUUCGGUGUUAGAGAUGCGUCGGAGGUCGGCUGGCGUCUGAACAGUGGCAGAGGUUUUUGGAGAUGGUGGCUGGGGAAGAAGGGUAAGAAAAAUAUGGAUUUUAGGGUUUUAUGGUUUUUAUCAUUGAGGUCCCUAGAGUUCCAUAAUUAUUUCCUUUGAGCAGUCAAGUUUUAAUUUUUUGCAUUUAAGUCUAAAAACAGUUUUGGGCUUAAAGAAUCCUAGUUUUAGGCUCAAUUGAAAUUUGGGUUUAAUGGAUUAAAAUGCAUAGAUAAAAUUGAACACAUUAAAUCUAUUUUUGGUCCAAAAGUUUUAUUUUAAUAAAAAAAAUUUAAUUAUUUCCUUUCAAAAUUAAAAUUGGACCAAUUAUAAAUUUAAAAGCCUAAUUUCCUCUAGUCCAUUAACAAAGACAAGCUUAUGGAAGAUGAACAUUUACAAGAAGCCCAAUGAAGAUUAGGCUUAUGGUUAAUGUAUUUUUCAUUAUUAGGAAAGCCAUGAAUUAAGAUUAUUUAAUUAUUUUUCUAUAUGUUAUGUUUUGGAUAUUAACAUGUCAUGUAGAAUAGGUAGUGCCACUAUGCAUAAUGAUACAUGUCAUUCUUUAAUAAUAAAUCUCAUUAUAUUGUUUGUGAUUUGUCUAUGCUUAAUAAUAUUGGAUAUCAUCUAGAUAAUAUUAUAGGAAGCAUGCAAUUAACAAUAUGUAUGUUUUAAAAAGGAAAAAUCAAUUUUAAAAUAUUGAGUGGGAGAGGGAAAAUUCAAGAUAAUUUUUCCCACGGGCUUCAUUUUACUUCAAUAAUAAAAUUAUAUAUAUACCUCGACUUCAUGAUACGGUGAUGCUCCCUACAGAGGGUAUAUAUAUUAGAUAUUUUAUUUGUUGAAUUUCUUCAAAGAUAAAAUUAAAAUAUUUUUCAAUCGAUUGUUCGCCCUCACGGUGACUAUUGAUAUGAAAAAUACGUAGAUUGAAACAAUGGUUAUACACUCAACUGAAAUUUGUUAUUAACCUUCCCAACGAAGCUCUGUUAACAAAUUUAGGCCCAAAGGGAUAACGAUAAUUAUUUAUCAUGUCUCGACAUGAAAGUAAAUAAUUCAUUGGAUAAUUGGGUCUAGUAAGUGUAGACAUGACUUCCCCAACGGAUAGCUUGUCAAAGCGGUACUAGAUUAUCGUUACAAUAAAUUAAAAUACAUUUAUGAGUUUUUUUUUGCAUUUUUGUCAUUUAUUGUGAAUAUUGUUUCAAAGUAUUUAUGCAUGUUUAUUUUGUUUUUCCAGAAAAUGUCUUCCAUCAACCCAUUAUUAAUUAUCCUUGUUAAAAAUGAACUCACUGGCGAAAAUUAUUUAGAUUGGAAACGCAAUCUAUUUAAUAUUCUCACUGCUAAGGGCUGCAAAUAUGUGUUGACCUAGCCUUGUCCUCCUGAACCAUCAUUAUACGAUUAUAGAAAUCAGAGGGAGCCUUAUGAGAAAUCGUGUGAAGCUAACAAAAUGGCUAAGCACUAUAUAUUGGAUUCGAUUUCUGUGGAACUACAUAAGAAACAUCGGAGCAUGGAAACAACCACUGAAAUAAUGGCUAGUCUUCAUCAGAUGUUUGGGCAAAGUACUCAUUUUGCUAGAGAAGCAGCAUUAAAACGUAUUACAGAUACUAAGAUGGAAGAGAGCACAAAAGUUCGUGAUCAUGUCCUCAAAAUGAUGGACUAUUUGAAUGAGGUAGAGAUUCAUGGUGCUCAAAACAAUGAUAAAUCAAAAAUUAAUAUGGUGAUUGAAUCUUUACCUAAUACAUUCAAAGAGUUUAAGGUCAGUUAUAUCUUAAACAAUAAAGAUAUGAACUUAAUUGAAUUAAUGCACGAACUACAUGCUAUAGAAGAAUUUUAUCAUAGCAGAAAACUUCCUGAAAAAGGAUUCUCUUCAAGGCUUAAGUCGAAAGACAAGAAUGAGCAAGCAAGAGUUAGGAUCAGCAAACUAUCCACUAAAAGAAGUGGCAAAAGGCAAGUGUUACAAAUGUGGACAGAAGGGUCACUCGAAGAAAGAUUGUCCUAAGAUUAUUAAAAUCAGGAAACCAAGAGAUUAAGUGAAGAAAGCUUCAAACAACAGUUGAGGACAUGCUAGUUUAUAUCAAUUGAAAGGCUAGAUCAAUUUUACAAGACUUAAAAGUUUUGAUAUUUGUCUUUAUUUUUCCAAAUACUAGAGGAAUUUAAUUUCGGUGACUUGUUUUAAUAAACAGGAGUACACUGUUAUUUUUUGAUCCACUGUCAUUUAUUUAUUUUAGUUAUUUAUAAAGACAAUUAAUAUCAUAUAAAUCCAUUGAUCUAUUCAAAGCAAGAUAUAAUGAUAAAGAGUAUAUGCAUUUAUCUAAGAAAAGAAAUGUUUCUUCAAACCAAAAUCACCUCUGAUAUUUAGGCUUAAGUCAUAUAAACUAUAAUAAGAUUUUAAGAAAAUGAUUAAUGAUAGACUUGUUGGCCUAUUAAGAUUGAUCAUUGUAGCUCUAUAAAUCUUAUUUAGAAAAGUAAUAUGACGAGAAUGCUCAUUUAGAGCUAAAAGCAUAACAUUGUAUUUAAUGAUUUAGCGCAUACAAAUAUAUAUGGACUAAUCAGUUUACAUGUUAUAAGAGGUUAUGAGUAUUCUAUCAAUCUUGUUGAUGAAUAUUCAUUUUACUUAUGUUUGUCUAAAUGCGUCAUGAUUCCAUUGCUUUUGAAAUUCAAAAGAGUACAUGGAUAAGACAAAAGCAAUUAGACAGGAACAUAAAAGAACUUCGAUAUGAUCGAAACAAAGAAUAUCUCUAUGGAGAAUUCAAGCACUAUUUGGUUGUCAAUGAACACUAGAGAAACAAGAUUCUUUUGGAUAAAACAAGAUAUAUACUAAGUGGUUUAUCAUUUACCUUUUUUAUUCCAGAUACUAAUAUUUAAAACUACAAAGUUUAUUGAACUUAGUUUCAUCUAUCUCGGUAUCUACUACUCCAAGAAAUUAUGAAAAAGUCACAAACUUGGUUUGAGACACAUUCGUAUUUGGAGUUUACUAGUAUUUCUACUAGAAUCAGAGGUAGAAAAGAUGGAUUUGUGUUCAGAAGCUUGCAUGUUUAAGGUAUCGUAAUGGAAUAAGGGAAAGUCUGAAUUAUAGUCCUCAAGAUAGGAAUGUAUUUGUGGACAUAUUAUUUACUUUCUUUGAGGAAGACUAUAUUAUGACUUCUUACCUAAGAGUAAGGUAAAACUAGAGAAAUAAAAAAGGUGAUCAAGUUGAUACUCAGCUUUCAAUGCCUGUUACAAAACAGGAAGAACAGCGACAACCAGAUGAUCAACACAGGAUUAUCCCUGAACAACCAUCACUUUUAGAACCUCGUCGUAGUGGGAGGAUAACUAAGUUACCUGCGAGAUAUAUGCUUUUGGGAGAAACCUAUACGGCUAUCUCAGAUGAACAUGUACAAGAUCUCACUAAUUACAACAAAGCUCUAAUAGAUAUAGAUGUUGAAUUUUGGAAAAAGACCAUCAAUCAAGAAAUGGAAUCUAUGUAUUCCUAUAAAGUCUGGGAACUUGUAGAGGCACCAAAUGGGAUAAAACCUAUAGGGUGCAAGUGGAUCUACAAGAGAAAAAGAGGAGUAAACGGAAGGGUGGAAACAUUUAAAGCAAGAUUAGUAACCAAAGGGUUUUACUUAGAAAGAGAAAUCGAUUAUGAGGAAACCUUUUCUCCGGUUUCUAUGCUUAAAUCCAUCAGGAUUCUGCUCUCCAUUGCUGUAGUGCUAGAUUAUGAAAUUUGGCAAAUGGAUGUCAAGACUGCCUUUCUUAACGGGCAUCUUAAAGAAAACAUCUACAUGCAGCAACUAGAUGGAUUUAUACAAAAAAGACCAAGAACACAUGGUUUAUAAGUUGCAGAGAUCCAUUUUUGGAUUGAAGCAAGCAUCCCGGUUAUGGAACAUCAGAUUUGAUCAACCGAUUAAAUCGUUUGGAUUCAUUCAGAACAUUGAUGAACCAUGUGUGUACAAGACAAUUCAAGAAAAAUCUGUAGCCUUCCUAAUUCUUUAUGUAGACGAUAUUCUCCUAAUUGGAAACGAUAUAGGAGUAUUGACUACAAUAAAAUUACUACGAGACCAGAAUAAUAAAACUUUAGCCUUGUCUCAAGCAGUCUAUAUCGAUAAGAUAUUGGCUAGAUUUAGCAUGGAAAAUUCCAAGACUGGUUUAUUACCAUUCAGACAUGGAAUUACAUUCUCUAAGGGUCAAUCUCCUAAAACAUCUGAAGAGAUAGAGAGAAUGAGAUGAGUUCCCUAUGCAGAAGCUGUGGGAAGUCUCAUGUAUGUCAUGCUUUACACUAGGCCAGACAUCUGCUUUGCGGUAGAGAUGGUUAAUAGAUAUCAAUCUAAUCCUGGACCUAAACACUGGACUGCGGUCAAGCAUAUAAUGAAGUAUCUGAAAAGAACUAAAAAUUAUAUGCUUGUGUAUUCUGGUGAUGAACUCAUUCUAGUGGGUUAUACUAAUUCUGACUUUAUGUCAAAUAAGGAUUCCAGAAAAUUAACUUCCGGCUAUGUGUUUACAUUGGGAAGUGGAGCUAUUAGUUGGAGGAGUGUGAAACAAUCUUGUAUCGCAGACUCCACAACUGAAUCUAAAUAUGUGGUUGUAUCCGAAGCUGCAAAAAAAGUUGUAUGGCUACGCAAGUUCCUACAAGAUCUUGAGGUGGUACUUGCUGUAACUGCACCCCUUAAACUAUUUUGCGAUAAUAGUGGUGCGGUAGCUCAAUCUAAGGAACCACAAGAAACAAAAACAUAUUGAGAGGAAGUAUCAUCUUAUAAGGGAAUAGUGUAGAAAUGUUAUAUGACAGUACCCCAGAUGGGAUUAGAUGCUAAAUGGCAGAUCUUAUUACAAUGGCCAUUAGUGGAAAACCUUUAUAACCUGCACUUAGAGCCCUAGAGCAUGUGCAAUAUGCCAAAUAUGCUUUAAGAGCUAUUCGGAGAUUGUUGGGAAAAUAUGCUCUUUAAAAGCAUAUGUGUUUAUUUAAUUGUAAUAAAUAAUUUUUCUGAUUAAUAAAAUAAAUGCGGUAUUUUAUUCAAAUAUCUUAAUUGCAUUAAUAUUUUUAUUAAAGUCCAUUUAAUCAUAUUAUAUGUAUUUAUGUAAUCACCAUGUGGAUUCACAUAAGACAUAAAUACAAGUUAUCUUAUGAUUAAAUAAAUUUAGUUCGCAAUUGAUAAAUAAAGUUGGGCACUUUAUUUAGGUAUAGACUGUAAUAAAUUAAUUGAAUAAUUUGUCUUAAUCAUGUAUGAAUUUAUUAAUGUAGUACGACUACAUUGAACAAGAUCACAUUUGAGAUUUAAUUAACUUUGUAAUAACUGUCAGACUUAUUAAAUCUCAUAGGCAUUGAUUUUACUGUAAUCUUAAUCUUGAGUUAAUUAUGAUUUCAUUAUUGUAAUUGUUAUUCCAUUUGAGUUACCAAUGGGCACGACACAUACUUGUUGUCAAGAUUACUCGGUAUCUUGGUGGGAGCAAUUAUAAGUAUUGGAGUUAUGGAUUAACAAUAUAGAAUUUGUACAACACAUCUCUUGAUGGGUUUUCGGCACUUGAUCAUAGAAUUCUCUGGCCAGAGUGUGUCAACAUAUUUAGUAUGUUAAAAAUGAUCAUUAGAGAAAACCAAUAAGUAUCAAGGAACAAGAUGUAAUUAAAUUGAUUGGACUGUUGAGAUAUCGAUUUAAUUAAUGAUGUGGUACAAAAGAUUGUGCAGUAAAAAAAUCAAUGUGGCUUGGGACGAAUUAUUAUUCGAGCAUACAAUUAUGGAAGUCAGUUCCAAUCUUUUAGUGGAGUAGAUUUGGAAUUAAAUAAUUGGGCUAGUUUAAUUAUAGGCCUAAUUAUUGUAGCCACUAUUGUAUGUUCCCAAAUGAUCCUCAGGUUAGCUCAUUUAAUUGAGUGCACCACUACUGGAUUAAUAAGCAAGAUAACUAGCUAUUUGGGUCAAAAGUCCAAAUAUAUCAUUUAGUGGGCGGCUCCAUUUAAUUAGCUUGUGUGUAAGGGGCCUAAUAUUAUUUUACAAGGUGGGUCCCCUAUAGAAAAAGCAAGUAACGUGAGUUUUGUUUUUGAUUAUUUGGAGCCUAGGAUUUUCACUAAAGCGAGAUAUAAAAAGCUUAUUUUCUCUAAAGAAAAGAGAUAGCAGCCACUUUAUACAGAUCAGAGAAAAAGAUUUUUCUCUCUAUUGUUGAGAGAAAAAUUUUCUCGUGCUAGUUGCUUUGGUAGUGAUAAAGGCGCCCACACGUCAAGUGCAGAUCAAACCUGAGUCAUAACCUGGAAGAUCAUUGGUGACAGUUCGUGAUCUAACAAGCGUGGUGGUGACGGAUCGUGAUCUAACAGACGUGGUGGUGACGGAUCGUGAUCUAGGAGCCUAAAUCACUUCAGCGGAAAAAUCUAAAUCGGAUUUUUAAGGUACGAUUUUUAGAUUACGUAUUCUUAUAUAUUAUAUGAGAGCGAUCUUAAAAAGGUUUUAUAAAAAAUUUAAAAAAUCGAUCUUUCCCCAACAUAUGGAACCAUGCUAAAGGGCUUUAUUCAAACAAAGUCGCAUGGCCGUUGGCAAUUAAAAUACUUUAUCAAUUAAGUUAAGUAGUAAGAAUUGGAUUGUGGAUUCUAUUAAUUAUUUCAAGGAAAAUUUUAUAGAUAAUGGUGUAAUGAAAUUUACGUCAUCAAUACCAUGAUAAAUAUAAAUAUUGUAAAUUACAAAUAGAAUUAGUAAAUGUAAAGUAAAACCAGUAAAUUUAUAAAAGAUUAUUAAUUAUUUAAAAAAUUAACAUUGUUUCUAGAUAAUUUUAGUGAAAAAUAUUUUAUUCAUUUAAAAAAAUUCUUUAAUUAAACAAAAAAAAUCAUUAAUUAAAUAAAAAAAAUUAUACUGAAACACAAAAGUGGAAUAAAUUUAAUUGAAUUGGUUACCAUAAAUUCUAUAUUUAGUCUAGGACAUUUGUAUACAUUUUUUUCCCAUUUUCUAUAAUGAUAUCGAUUUAUUACACAUGUUAAUUAAGUGCAAUUAUUUAUCUUGAUGUGGAUCAAGUAAAUAAAAAAAAGAGAUAUCAAUAAAAUUAGAUCUAAUUUUGAAUAUUAUGUAUACUUUAUGUAGUUUCAAACUUUUUACUUGUAUUUGGAGACCAUUUAAGGUUGUUGUUGAAGAAGUGUAGAAAGAUGUAAAAUAACCUCAUCUUACAACAACUAAGAAAGAUAUUAAAAUAUUAUUUUUUUCAAAAUCCGAUUUUGAGCAAAAAUUUCAUCCUUAAUUAAACAUCACAUGUAUUAUAGAAAUGCAAAACUACCAUUAUUAUAUUUAAAUUAAAAAAUAAUAAAUAUAUAAGGUAAUAAACAUUAUAACGAGUUUUUAUUUUAAAAUUGUAAACUUUUGUUUCUGACAAUAACUCUUAUAUUAAUUUAUUUAUUUUACCUUUUAUUCAUAAGUUUUAUGCAUAAUCUACAAACUUUAUGUUUUAUUUUGCAUUUAAUGUUGAUUUACUUUUUUUAUAUUAUACUUAUAAGUUUUCAUUUUAUUUACCAAUAAUACAUUAAUUUAUCAGUUUUAUAGUAAUUUACUUAUUUUACCUUCCUUUUACAAUUCUUAUGUUUCAUUUCCAAAGUUUAUGUUUUAUUUUACAGUUGUUGAUGAUUUACUAGUUUUAUGUUAUGUUUGGUAAUAGAUUAAUGGGUAAUUUUUAAUUGAGUCCUCAUUAGAUCUAGAAAAAAAAAUUCAGAGACCAGAAGUUUACUAAAUGAAUCCAUUAAAGUCUUUUAAAUACAAACUAAUGUCAUUCAAGUCCUUAACUUAAUUGCUCUGUUAAAAAUACUAACAACGUUGAGGACAUUUUAGUAAAACAACAAUUGAGUUGUUUCUCAUUCUUGAUUUUUGACAGGUAGAAAUAGUUUAAAGUAAACUCCAUUAACUUGAUUAAGUUAAGGAUCAGUUCUUUGAAAUGAAAAAAAAAAACCUACAGAAACUGCCAUAUUCUUCGUGUGAGAGGAGAGAUCGAGAGAAUGUGGGAUGGUGCAAAAAAUGUUGUAUAAAUCUACUGUGAUUUUGACCAAGGCUUUGGUAGCAUUGAUUGAGUUCAAGUACUGGAGAGAACCUGAGUUUAAAGGUUAGUAACUCUAUUUUUUUAGUGAUUUUUGCAAACAUUUUCUGAUAAAAGUUUUUCCAUAUUGAGUGAUCGUUGUGAAAAAUUAGGUUUUUCAAGUCUAUUUUUCAAAAUGACAAACUAUGUUUAAUUAUUGGUGGAUUCUUUUUUUGUUCAAUGUUGUAUUUUCUUAAUUUGUUGUUUUUAAUUUGCUCUUUAUGUAAUUGUUAGACGAAAUACACUAUAUUGGUAUCGUUAUAUUAAUAAGAUUGAAUUCAUUGUAUUUGCUUCUUUGUUCAUGUAAAAUUGAAUUCUAUUUGUUCUUAUGAGUGAUAAUUUUUCUAUCUAUUAGACUAAAUUCACUAUAUUCACUACUUUCUUUCUUUUUGCUGGGCUAUUUUUUCUUUUUAGUUUAUAUUUUUUAUAUGUAUUAGAUUGAAUUUGUUUUUGUACUUUUUUUAGCCGAAUUACAUGUAUAUUUCAUUUAGGUUGAGUUUUUUUGUUGUUUGCUAAAUAAAAUUAUAUUGGUUUAUCCUUUUUUGAUGCAAUACUUUUUGUUUUAAAUUGAUGCAGGUAGCCAUGUUACCUUUUGUUUCGAUUAAAAUUAAUGGGGUGAUGUAUGCGAUAGAAUAUAGGGAACCAGAGGAAUAUAAGAUUAUUAGGUUGUUUUUUGAAAUUCAAGAUGUCAUGGUUAAGCAUGGACAUAGUGAAAUGGAUUUGAUUGAAAUUUAUGUUGUAUUGCCAUGGACUACAAGUAGGCAGAGGAAGCUAAGUUCAAAUAAUAGUGAAUUGUAUUGGUGUUCGAGUUUUUUUUAUCAAUAGUUGUCCUGUCAUUGAGUUUGAGGUGCACACUGGGUCAGGUGGUCAGUCAUUUCAUGAAAGUGUUGUAAUAGGAUCUGAAAAUCCUGUCAAUAUAGGUGUUAGUGUUGUAAUAGUGAUAAGUUUGAAAAUCCUGUGGCUAAAAAGGGUCUGCCUAGAAUAAUUGGUACUUCUUUAUUUGCCUCAAAGUCCAACACUAUAAAAUCCACUACGAAAAAGAAUUUAUCCACUUUAACCAGCACAUCUUCAAUCCUGCCUUCAGGAUAAGCAUGAGAUAUGUCAGCACAUUGCAAUGUCACUGUGGUUGGUCUGACUUCUCCAACUCCGAAUUGCUUGAAUUCUGAUAAUGGCAUAAGAUUGAUGCUUGCUCCCAAAUCACAAGGUGUCUUGGGGUAAUUUUUAGGGACCUCCCCUGAGGUUUGGUGUAUUAAUACUUAAAUAGAAUGUAUCCAUGUGCCAUUAGUUACUAAUUAGGUUGACCGUUAGUAGACAUUCAAAAUUAGUGAAAUAUCCUUCUUACUGAAAUAAUAAAUUAUUAAAUAUAGUUUUGAGAAAUCCAUUGGCAGUGAGGAUUCCGUUGAAAAUCCAUUUCAACAAAAUGGAUGUUGGUGGUGUGAAAAAGUGUGCUACCUGGUUUGGGGUUGUUUGAUGGAAUGGACAACAAUGAUAUGGAACCAUCACUGUCCUCUGGUUGUUGCUUCGCUGGCCUCCUCGAAAGUGAGCAAAAAUGGUUCAAAGUCUCACACACCACAAGCGCCAUAGCUAUGCCACCAAGUCCAACCAGCACCGCGUCGUCAAAACCCUUGGGGGGAAGCUGCUUUACUAGAGAACCAAGAAGAGAGCAAGUGAGCCUAAGUGUCCUGUCACUGGAAAAAGGAUCCAAGGAAUUCCUCACUUGAAAUAAAUUAUUAAUUUUCUUAUGAAAUUUUGACUUGUAUGAAUUAUUUAUAAUGGCAUUUUGUGCCGUUCUAUUUAAAUGUGAAUGGGUAUUCGGUUUUUUCUUCGAAGUUUCUUUACCCAAAAAAAAAAAAUUGUAACCAUCACCGUCGGCAGAAAUUGUGGCAGUGGCAUGUGGCAUGACAAGCCGCCUGCGAGGGUUUUGUGAUUUGUGUGCAAUUGGGUUUUGGGAUGUCAGAGGUUGCGACGUGGUAUUGUUGAGUGUUAGAAAAUGCAUAUUUAUAAAGGAGAAAACCAUUAUUUUACAUUUUAAGUCUUACUAACAACCCUUACUUUUAUGUUUUUAACAUUCUUGUGAUUUAAUUACGUGUGUUUUAUUUUAAUUAAGUAAUUUAUGUAUUUUAAGGGCAUUAUAGUCAUUUCACAAUAAAGGAGAGAUCAGACGGCAAAACGGACAUCACUUUUGUACUCAGGACGGUCAAAAACCUUAAGAGGAGCAUAAAAAGAAAAAUGGCACUAUUCACAUGUACGGUACUGUAUACGUUACUGUUCACGACACUGUUCACAUAGACGGAUGAUGAUGUGGCAUUGACCGAUGAUGUGGCAUUGACUGAUGAGGUGUCACGAUCCUGUUGGACUAAAAUUCUUAUGUACUGUUGAUGGUGACGUGGCAGCAUAUCAGUGGACGAAAAAUCUCGCGUACGGUGCAUGCAUCACACAGGAUUAUUUUCAACCAAACUGCGUUACUGUUCAUCCGGGUCAAACCGCGUUACUGUUCAAAGUCAGGUCAAACCGUGUUACUGUUCAUCCGUGUGGUCAAACCGUGGACUGUUGACUGAUGACGUGGCGCAAUCCUGAGCGUCCAAACUGUUUUUAAUCCGAUGGCCAUGAUUUACUCCAUGUAUCUAUAAAAAGGGGGCCUCUCCCCCCUAAUUUGAUAUCUCUGAAUCCAUUUUUGGGAUCCAUUUUCUGUAAUUCCCUCUCCAUCUUGUAUUUUUUUCGUAUUUUAAUAAAUUCUCAUUUUGCCCUUAGUUCAAUUAUGAGUGGCUAAUUUUCUUUCAAGCUUGGGUUGAAGGUGAAGUCUCAACAUGUGUCAUGGGCUUUAUUUGGUAAAUUUAUUUUCUCUUCCCCUCUAGUUUUUGUGGAUGUUUUGACUUCUCGUCGACAAAUAAUACUAAUCUUGUCUAGUACCGCAUUGGUUUCACCGGCCCUCUAGUACAAGGUUAUUAUUAUUUGGCACGAUAAGCCCUUAGCACUAUAUUGAUUAGAGCGUGGUUCAUGAGGUGUGGAUUCCCCCCUCAUGAUUUAAUUGGCAUUAAUAAGGAUUAUUUAGCCCAUGAUGGAUGUUGAUACGGAUCUAGAUACCCAAGUACGUCAUUUUAAUAGAAUUCUCUUCAAUUUAUUCUCGUCAUUUCAAUUCCAAUUUUAGAAUUUAUUCUCGCCAUUUUAAUUUAAGUUUUAGCAUAUCCCAAAUCAUUUCCACCACAAAUCCAAUCACCCAUUUACAAAAUUAAUUCUACACAAUUAAAAUCCACCUCCUCGUGGGAUCGACACUCGUCACCAUUAGUUUAUACUACAAUAGAUUCGUGCGCUUGCGAGUACAUUAAAAUUUGCACAACAGGUUUUUGGCGCCGUUGCCGGGGAGGUAAGUAAUUUUAAUUCAUAGAAUUAAUGUUUGUGAAUAAUUUCUUUUAUUUUUUUUAUUGUAUUUUUUUUAUUAUUAAAAAAAAGUGAAUCCGCAUUUAGAGGUUAGUAAUUUCUUUUCUUUUUCUCUUCUUUAAAUUUCUGUAAUUUAAUUUUCAAGUUAUUUUUUUUUCUUUGUAAUUUUUGUUUAUCUUACUAAUUCUUUUUAGUUAAUUUAUUUCCCCUAUUUGUUUUUGUGUAUUUUUAUACAAGUUUGUAUAGCGCAAUAAGGUUAGUAUCGUAAUUUCUCCCUUUUCUUUAUUUUUAUUUGUUUUGUUCCCAUCUUUAUUUUUAUUUUAUUUAUUUUGCAUGUAUGGUCGUAGGUCAUUAUUACCUAAUCUUGAACCUAUAGACCUUGAACUUGAGAAAACACUUCGCACACACAAACAAGUAAAAAAUAAAAUGGUUUUGCAACCACAGGAGAGACCAUUUAAAGAUUAUUUCAGUCCUUUAGCAAAUUUGAGCACAUCAUGUAUAAGAUACCCAAAUGUAGUUGCUAGGAGCUUUGAAUUAAAACCUAGUGUGCUAAAUUGUCUCCCCACAUUUUAUGGCCUAGAAAAUGAGGACCCAUAUAAUCAUCUGAAUGAUUUUCAUGCCAUUUGUCAAACUUUUAAAUAUGAAAAUUUUUCAGACGAUGAUGUUAAACUUACAUUAUUCCCAUUUUCUUUAAAGGAUAGAGCUCGUUCAUGGUUAAAUACUUUACAUGCUAAUAGCAUUUCAUCAUGGGAACAAAUGGUAACUAAAUUUUUGAAUAAAUAUUUCCCAGUGCAUAAAACCAAUGCUAUUCGUAGGGAAAUCUCGGAGUUUACCCAGAGAGAGGACGAGCAAUUUUUCGAAACAUGGGAGCGAUUCAAUGGGCUACUCUUGAAGUGUCCACAUCAUGGGUACGAGAAAUGGCACCAAUGUCAAUACGUUUUGAAGGGAUUACUACCGAAUGUGCAAGAAUGGCUAAUGGCAACGAGUGGAGAAGAGCUAAUGUCAAAAAGUGCAUUAGAGAUUUGGGAAUUCUUCCAGCGACAAGCAGAUAAUUCCUAACAACGGAGUCGAUCACUCAGGACUACUAGAAGAAUUAAAGGAGUGAAUGAGGUUCAAAUUGGCGAGUCAACUUCGGGAAUCAAAGAAGUUAAGGAGAUGGUUGAAGGUCUUGCUCGACAAAUAGCAUCGUUAUCGACUGCAAAAUCAACAGAACCACAUGACCAUGACUCAUAUCCAGACCAAGCCAAUGCCAUAGGUAUAAUGAGAAAGCCAUCAAAUUACAACCCAUACUCCAAUACAUAUAACCCUGGAUGGAGAGACCACCCCAAUUUUUCAUGGUCUCAAGGAUUCCAACAGAAUGGACCAACAGCUCCAGCUCCACCAAUGCAACAAAUUCCUCAAGCCUCUCAGCCCCCAUUUAGACCAUUCAAUCAGAAUCAGAACUACUCUCAACCCAGACCAUGGGAGGAUGCAUUCCAGAAUCUCAAAAAUGUUACUCACUCCAUGAUUGAGCAACAGAACCGUACCAUUGAUGGACUACGAAAUGAGUUGAGAGCAGGCUUCAACUCACAAGCUCAAUCAGUUUUAAGCCUCGAGAAGAUGGUGGGACAACUUGCUUCUUCAAUUCAGACCUUGGCAAUGACUGUUGAAAAAGGAAAAUUUCCAAGUCAACCAGUGCCUAAUCCUAAAGGAGUACAUGAAGCAAGUACCAGUUCACCACAGCAGCAUGGAGAGGUCAAAGCAGUCAUGACUUUGCGAAAAGGAAAAGAAGUCGACAAUAAAGUGGAGAUGCCGGUGACAAAAGAAAAUCAAAUUGUACCUGUGAAUGUUGAUGACUCAUCACCGGAGGAGAAAAAAGAAACUAACCCACAAGAAUACGUUCCCAAAGCUCUAUUUCCUCAAAGGUUAGCUAAAGGAAAGAAAGGAAAAUCCACAGGUGAGAUUCUUGAAAUCUUCAAACAGGUAAGUGUUAACAUUCCUUUGCUAGAUGCUAUUAAACAAGUUCCAUCUUAUGCCAAGUUUCUUAAAGACCUUUGUACUAAAAAGAGAAAUAUGCAUGUUCAAAAGAAAGCAUUUUUAACAGAAAACGUUAGUUUUAUACUCCAACAUAAAAUUCCUUUAAAAUGCCAAGACCCAGGCUCCCCCACUAUCUCAUGUAGUAUAGGGAACCACACAAUUGAGAAUGCUUUGUUGGAUUUAGGAGCUAGUGUAAAUCUUUUGCCUUACUCUGUAUUCGUGAAACUUGGACUUGGAGAAUUACACCCAACUCCAGUGGUGUUACAGCUUGCAGAUCGGUCCACAAAAAUACCUCGUGGUAUUGUGGAGGACGUGCUUAUCCAGGUAGACAAGUUUUAUUUUCCUGUUGAUUUCAUUGUAAUCGACACUCAACCAAUACAGGACUCGAGGAAGCACAUCCCCAUUAUUCUAGGCCGACCUUUCUUGGCAACUGCGGAUGCUCACAUUCAAUGCAGGACUGGAAAUAUGUAGUUGUCCUUCGGCAACAUGACUAUGGAGCUAAACAUUUUCAACAUUGCCAAACAACCUCACAGUGCAGAUGAUGGAAUUGUUGAUGUGGAUUUAAUUGAAGCAUUAGUUGAUGACACUUUUCUUUCAAACCUUAGUGAUGAUCCUUUACAAACAUGUUUAACUCACUUUGGUUUGGAUUUUAAUAUUGACAAAUCGGUCGAAGAGUUCAAUGCCCUACUUGACUCCGCACCAUCCAUGGACACUAAUAAAUGGAAGUCAAGAGUUGAACAACUAGCACCAUCAGAGAAGAAACUCAUCCCAUCAUCAGAAUCACUACCAAAACUCGAGCUCAAACCAUUGCCCAACACUUUGGAAUAUGCGUUUUUAGGAGAAGAAAGCACUCUAUCGGUAAUCAUCUCAUCAUCCCUAAACGAUGAACAAAAAGGUAAGUUAUUGGAUAUUUUAAAAGAGCACAAAGGAGCAUUAGGAUGGACCAUAGCAGACAUAAAAGGUAUAAAUCCAGUAGACUGCAUGCAUUACAUUCACCUUGAUGAAAAUGCUAAAUCUACUAGGGAAAUGCAACGUCGGUUAAAUCUUAAUAUGAAAGAAGUUGUUAGAACAGAAGUCCUUAAGCUAUUAGAUGCAGGUAUCAUUUACCCCAUUUCUGAUAGUUCAUGGGUUAGUCCUGUGUAAGUUGUCCCCAAAAAGUCAGGAGUCACUGUAGUUACCAAUGCCGAUAAUGAAUUGAUACCCACUAGAGUGACUACAGGAUGGCGUGUAUGCAUUGAUUAUAGGAAGUUGAAUUCUGUCACACGUAAAGACCAUUUUCCUUUACCAUUUAUUGAUCAAAUGCUUGAUAGAUUAGCAGGUCAUGAAUUUUAUUGCUUUCUAGAUGGCUACUCAGGAUACAAUCAGAUCCCCAUAACACCAAAAGAUCAGGAGAAAACUACUUUCACUUGCCCUUUUGGUACAUUUGCAUAUAGGAGAAUGCCAUUUGGAUUAUGCAAUGCACCUGCUACAUUUCAACGAUGCAUGUUGAGCAUUUUUUCUGAUAUGGUUGAACGAUUCCUUGAAGUCUCUAUGGAUGACUUUUCUGUCUUUGGUGACUCGUUUGAUCAAUGUUUACAUCAUCUAACACUAGUUCUGCAGAGAUGUAUCAAGAAGAACUUGAUCUUAAAUUGGGAGAAAUGCCAUUUUAUGGUAAAACAAGGUAUUGUUCUCGGUCACAUCAUUUCGAGCAAAGGUAUUGAGGUUGACAAAGCCAUCAUUUCUAAUCUUCCUCCACCUAAAACAGUCAGAGAAGUAAGAUCUUUCCUUGGGCAUGCUGGUUUUUAUAGACGUUUCAUUAAAGAUUUUAGCAAAGUUUCUAGACCCUUAUGCAAUUUACUUCCUAAGGAUGUACCUUUUAUCUUUAAUGAUUCAUGUCUUGUGGCUUUUGAAAAAUUAAAGCAGUUGUUGACAUCAUCACCCAUUAUUCAGGCCCCGAACUGGAGCUUACCAUUUGAACUCAUGUGUGAUGCAUCUGAUUAUGCAGUAGGAGCAGUAUUAGGACAAAGAGUUGAUCGAAUUCCCCAUGUUAUUUAUUAUGCUAGUAUGACAUUGAAUGAUGCACAGUUGAACUAUUCAACUACUGAAAAAGAAAUGCUAGCAGUAGUGUUUGCAUUGGAGAAAUUUCGUUCUUAUCUCAUUGGUUGUAAAAUAAUCGUGUUCACAGAUCAUGCUGCUCUUAAAUAUCUUCUCACAAAGAAAGAUGCAAAAGCUAGACUAAUUCGUUGGGUGUUACUUUUGCAGGAAUUUGACUUGGAGUUCAAAGAUAAGAAAGGGACAGAAAAUGUUGUGGCAGACCACCUCUCUCGUCUCCAUUUUGACACAAUUACAGAAUCAUUACCAUUGAAUGAGUCAUUUCCAGAUGAACAAUUAAUGAAUAUGGACGUAUUACCUUGGUAUGCUGAUAUAGUUAAUUAUCUUAUUACAGGUAAACUUCCAGAGCAUUGGACCAACCAAGACAAGGCUAAAUUCUUUGCAGAAAUAAAGAAUUUCUUUUGGGAUGACCCGUAUUUGUUCAAGUAUUGUGCAGACCAAAUUGUUAGACGAUGCAUCCCAGAAAGUGAAAUUCAGAAUAUCCUUUCAUUCUGCCAUGAACAAGCUUGUGGAGGCCAUUUCAGCGCUAAGAAAACAGCGACUAAAGUUUUACAAUGUGGUUUCUAUUGGCCAACUAUAUUUCGAGAUGCUUACACUUUCUGUUCUUCAUGUGAUAGGUCUCAACGAAUGGGGAGCAUUACACGAAGGAACAUGAUGCCACUAAAUCCAAUUUUAGUGGUUGAGAUUUUUGACGUAUGGGGUAUCGACUUCAUGGGACCCUUUCCCCCGUCUUUUGGCCAUCAAUACAUAUUGGUUGCUGUUGACUACGUAUCCAAAUGGGUAGAAGCAAUUCCAUGCAAAACUAAUGAUCACAAGGUGGUGAUAGUAUUUUUGAAAAGCAACAUUGUUUCACGCUUUGGAUUCCCUCGAGCGAUAAUCAGUGAUGGUGGUGCCCACUUUUGUAACAAAGCAUUCAAGGCUCUUUUGACAAAGUAUUCAAUCACACACAAAGUGGCGACUUCGUAUCAUCCGCAAACCAGUGGCCAAGUUGAGAUCUCCAAUCGAGAAAUAAAGCACAUAUUAGAAAAGACGGUGAGGCCAGACAGAAAAGAUUGGCCAUUAAGACUUGAUGAUGCCUUAUGGGCAUAUAGAACGGCUUUCAAGACCCCGAUUGGGAUGUCACCCUACAGGCUAGUGUAUGGAAAAGCUUGCCACCUACCUGUGGAACUCGAGCAUCGUGCAUAUUGGGCCAUCAAGAAAUUCAAUUUUGACAUGCAGCAAGCCAGCUCAGAAAGAAAAUUACAGCUGGCAGAACUUGAAGAAAUUCGCAAUGACGCGUACGAAAAUGCCAAGAUUUACAAGCAACGAAUGAAAGUCUUCCAUGACAAGCAAAUUAUGAGAAAAUCUUUCACUCCAGGUCAGAAAGUGCUUUUAUUCAAUUCUCGCUUGCACCUAUUCCCAGGUAAGUUACGCUCUCGUUGGUCUGGCCCAUUUAUUGUUCAUACUGUUUUUCCAUAUAGGGCAAUUGAAAUUAAGGACCCAAAGAACGGUGUCACGUUUAAAGUUAAUGGUCAAAGAUUAAAGCCAUAUCUAGAAUACCAAUCAUAUGGAGAAGACACCGAAAUAAAUUUGAGUGACCCACCAGAUUUGAAUUGAUUUUUCUUUUCGUUGAUUUGAUUUUUCUUUCUUUCUUUAUAUUAUUCUUUUGCUAAUUGAAAUUAUUUUUGCAUAAGUAUGUUUGUUUAACUAGUAAGUUUUCUUUUAUCAUUUUUAAUCAUGAGUACAUUACUUAGACCGUUCCUCCUGAACAUUCUUAAACCACUUCAACGUGUCAAAACUCAUCUCAAAAGGCAGAUUCAAUUUUGUAAAACACAUCGCAUUUGGCUCUACAAUCACCAGAGUUAGUAGCCUAUGUUGAGGGUUUAGAAAGCCAACUCAGAGACAUUAAGAGAAGUGUUUACGACAUCCAGUUGGAGCUUGAGGUAAAUUCAAUAAGAGGACGGCUUUAAUUUUCUUUGUGUGUUUUAAUUUGUUUUUAUGUUUGUGUGCUUUAGUUUGUUACCCCGGUGAAGUGGCGGAUAACGGUACUCUGUGACAAUCAAGUCGGUUACUUCAGUUUCCCAUAAUAAUUGAUAUUCUGAGGCGAAAGUAUGGACAGAAACGAGAUUCUAGCGAAGCUUCACAAUUGAUUCCCUUCACUUCCUCAGAAUGCCCUCCUUACGAUCUAUAAAGCUCGGUCCGAACGCAUGCGAUUACUCAUGAGGAAUAACAUAUCUGCUGACAUCCGUUGGUUAACCGAGGCUAAAGUACGAUCGGCAGGUGAGUUACCUCCAAAAUUUAUUGCAUACAUGCCUGGUUGUGGUAAAGGAAAUUAUGCAAGAAAACGACGAGCUCGAAGAAUUUCUGUUGCUUGUCAUAAGUGUGCCAGAAUGAGUUGCAAUAAAAACCCAUGUUCUUUAGGAAUGGUGUCUGAUAACAGGGAAGAUAAGAUUCAAUUCAUUAGGGAUGGCUUGAAUAAGGAGUCAUUGGAUGAUAUCCUUUUGUCUCUUGAAACGCAUCCCAGUGGAUAUGUGCAAGGAGCGAUUCUCCAGUUAUGACCAUUAUUCUAGAAAGAGCAUGCACGAUAUAGUCUCGGGAAUCUGACUAUAAACGACCCUGUUUGCCAGUUUAUAAGAAAACUGGAUAGGAAGCCUAUCCUCGACCCAUAGAGGGCGUUCAAGCCGUUUCUGGACGUAAAACCAGAGGAAGAUGUGAGCCACAGUCGCAACUACCUGUAAAUAUCCUUUCACUUUACUGUUAUUUUAUUUCACUAUUGUUUUAUUGUGUGUAUUAUUGUCCUUAAUAAUUUUAUUACUGUUUAUUUUUUUCUUAUUACUGUUUACUUUUUCCUUUUUACUGUUUCCUUUUUGACUCGCGAGCCACGUGCUUUACGCAUUAUUUGACACUGACAUGUUACCUCAUACACAACUGUGACCCACUGUCACCAAGACUCUUAAAUGUGAUUUUUUUUUUCAAGCACUCACAAAUUGUUUUUCGAGAAGUAUCACAAUGGCAGCUACUCCAAAUAGACAAUUCAAGAACAUUUGUGUGCUUUCUGGAUUUACCUAUGGCAAACAUAAAGAGUUCGUUGAGGCAGCCAUCGAUCUUGGUCGAAGUAUAGCAGAGAGAAAAUUACACUUGGUGUAUGGAGGAGGUAACCGAGGGUUAUCAAAAAUGGUCUCUGAAGCAGCUUUUGUCAGAGGAAGUCAAGUGUUAGGCAUCAUCCCAAGAGUCUUAAAACCGUUGGGCAGUUCGUCUGACUCAUCAACUGGAGAAGAGUUAGUUGUCUCAGGUAUGCAAGAAAGAAUAACUGAAAUGCUUAAUCAUGCUGAUGCUUUUAUUUUCCUUCCAGAAGAUCUUGCAACACUAGAGGCACUUAUCACACUAGCAUCUUGGGCCCAUCUCCACAUCCACCAGAAACCCAUCGGUUUGUUAAAUGUCAAUAACUUUUAUGAUGGCUUUAUCGCAUUUCUUAACCAUGCAAUAAAAAACUAUUUCAUUCCCGCUAAUGUGAAAAAACUCUUUAUUUGUGCUCACACUGCUAAUGAGCUACUUGAUCUGUUACAAGCUUAUAGACCGGAGCCAGACCCCUGGACCUUUGUGUUGGAGCGUCCAAAUAAUGAUGGUAACAGUAGCAGCAGUAAGAAGUACAAAUUAGAUUUAACUCUCCACCUGUAAAUAUUUUCUUCUGUGUUGCACCACCCAGGUGAUGUCUUCUAAACUUUACUUCUUUCCUUUCAAACAUUGAGGACAAUGUUUCAUUCUGGUUGGGGGGAGGGAAUAGUCGACAAUUGUGGAAUCUUGGUUAGGUUUUUACUGAUUUUUUGUUGUAGAAACUAACUGUUGCUAACUUUUUGUGUUGAAGAUGGCUGAAUAUGGAGUAUAGUUACUCUAGAAACGCAUCUUCAUUGUUUGAAAAAAAAACAAAAAAAAAAUUUCAAAAAAAAAAUUCAAAAAAAAAUUCAAAAAAAAAAAAUUAGACAUUUUCUUUUUCUUUAUUAAGUUUUGAUGUUUAUUUUUCUUCUUUUUAAUUUCUCCUCUAUGAAUAUACAUUUUCCAACUUUUGAGUCGAAGAUUGCUGAAUAUGGAGUGUAGUGCCUCUAGAAACGCAUCUUCUUAGUAAAAAAAAAAAUCAUUUUCUUUUUCUAUCAUUUUAAGUGUACUUUUUCUAAUUUGUUUUUUUUUUUGCAUCAUUUUCACAUUUCUGCAUGCAUAUUUUUCUUUUAUGUUUAGAAUAGGUUGGGGGGUAGAAUGUUGUUUAAAAAAAAAUGUGUGGUUUGUUUUAACAUUGGAUGACAUGAUUAAUUUCAAAUUUUAGUAUUUGUAUUAUCUUUGGUCUUAAGUGAUGUUACAUUAUGUUUGCUACUCUACAUGUUGAUGUUGGAGACAAAUAUGAGUUGCUUGAAGGAAUGAACAUGUCAUAAUAAGUACCAAGUGAGUUUUUGAGCCUAUCAUUUUUCUUGGAGAGUAACCCUUUUGCCCAUUCUUUAUACAGCUUAACAGUUUAUUAUUGUAUACACGAUCUCUAUAUUUCUUUUGAGUUAACCCUUAAAAAAAAUUGUAAAACUAAAAAAAAAGAGAAAAAAAAGAAACAAAAUGUGUGUUGCUACAUUUGGAGGCCCAUCUAACUAGUAGAUAUGGAUGAUUAUUUAGAGCCCUAAAAGACGAUAGAAAGGCCAUCUUUGAUCCGUUUGAACCUUUCUAGCCAUCCCUUUUAUUAAAUAUCCAUAGUUAACCCUUUUGAGCCUUUAAAAAUAUAUAUAUAUAUAUUUUCUUUGUCAACUUAUCAUCUUGACCCACUCUGAUUUGGAGUAUUACCCGAUGCCUUAUAAGUUCCAUCACCUAUUUAUGUUUGAGAAAAUGUAAAUAAUUAUUUUGUUCAGUGAAGUUAUGCCAAAUAAAAGCAAAAAAAAAAAAAACAAAACAAAAGUUGUUGUUUCAAAAGAAUAAAAAUAACAACAAUAGGUGAAAUCCACCUCGCAUCUUCUUAAAAAAAAAAAAUCUCUGCAUUUUUCUCAAACAUACACUUUGUUUUCCUUAUUUCCCUUCUUUGUUAACCAUGUCCCUAGCUUACGUUACGUCCUAAUAAAAGUCCUUCUUGAUUUUAGGAAACUAUAGUCCGAAGUAGAAGCUAGUUAUAUGGGCUAAAAAGAUGUAGUGAUGCAUAAUUAAAAAAAAGAUAAACAAAGUGGGUUGACUAACAUUUUAUUUGACUUGAGAUCGUAUUAUUUCUAAGCUGAGGACAUAUUUAUUUCAUCUUGGUGAGAGCAUGUGAUAUCACUUCUUUAUUAUUUUCUCUCUCAAUUACCAUUCAUUGGAAUGACUAUUUUUAUUGGGUUUAAUUUAUUUGUGAGAGUGUCACUACUUCCAGUGAGAUUUUGGGGUUUGACAUGUCAUUCUUGAAAGUAGCUAUAACAAAGUCUACUAGGCUAAUUCAUGUGGAUGGUUGAUAUGGGUGUGAUAUUUCUUUAGACUGGAGAUAAUGCUUAUACUUUUAUUUGAUUGCUAUCAUUCAUCUGAUUGAAUAAAUAAGAGUGUUUCAAAAAAAAAAUCAUUUUGAAUUUGAAUUUUGUUUUCGCUUUAUUUGCUAGGGACUAGCAAUAAGCUGGUUAGGGGGUGUGUUGAGUGUUAGAAAAUGCAUAUUUAUAAAGGAGAAAACCAUCAUUUUACAUUUUAAGUCUUACUAACAACCCUUACUUUUAUGUUUUUAACAUUCUUGUGAUUUAAUUACGUGUGUUUUAUUUUAAUUAAGUAAUUUAUGUAUUUUAGGGGCAUUAUAGUCAUUUCACAAUAAAGGAGAGAUCAGACGGCAAAACGGACAUCACUUCUGAACUCAGGACGGUCAAAAACCUUAGGAGGAGCAUAAAAGGAAAAAUGGCACUAUUCACAUGUACGGUACUAUUCACGUGUACGGUACUGUAUACGUUACUGUUCACGACACUGUUCACAUAGACGGAUGAUGACGUGGCAUUGACCGAUGAUGUGGCAUUGACUGAUGAGGUGUCACGAUCCUGUUGGACUAAAAUUCUUAUGUACUGUUGAUGGUGACGUGGCAGUAUAUCAGUGGACGAAAAAUCUCGCGUACGGUGCAUGCACUUGGGUUAAUGUGUGUUGGUGGACACAGUUGAUUCAAAGGCUACUAUGAAUGGGGUUGGUCAUCGUCGUGAGGAGGGAACUCCAGCACUAGUAAAGCACCACCACCAACCACCGGUGGAGCCAUGAUCAACUGCUCAAGGGUGGGUCAACAGGGGGCAAGUGGUGGUCAAAAUUUUAUUGAUCUAGUAAAAGCAUACAUUUUCAGUUUUUAAUAUGUUUUUACACAUUUACCCUUCUAUACUGAUGUUAUACGUAUUUUCAUAUUAACGGCAGGGGAGGUAUAUGUAAUUACACGAAUACAUUCCAUCUAAGUGUUAAUACACCAAACCUCAGGGGAGGUCCCUAAAAAUUACCCAAGUGUCUUGCCACUGUAUUUAGUUCCUAUGGAACAAGGAAUUGUGAAACUUCCUGGAUCCUUCAACUUCUGAGGCAUUUUACUCUGAAGCAUAUGGCUGCAUUCUUGUGUUAGACCAACUAUUUCAAAUUCUCCAAGCCUCAUUUUCCUUACCAAUAUACAUUUUCAAAACUUUACAUAAUUUGGCAUUUAUUCUAAUGCUUCCACAAAAGGAAUGUUGAUAUGUAGUUGUUUCAAUACUUCCAAGAAUUUACUAAACUACUUGUCUUGCUUUCACUUCUGAAAUCUUUGUGGGAAGGGUGGUGGAUGUGUAAAUUGUUAUACUGCAGCAGACUGUACAGAUUGCUUUUCUCUUGCUCUAUUAUAGUUUGUUAUUGUUAGUGCUGUAGCUUCUUCCUCAACAAGCACUGAAUCAUGUUUUUCUGCAGUUGCUAUAGCUUGGCAACUCUCACCAGUGUGCUGGAAAAUGGGUUAUUGUGUCUCUUUUUUAAUUUGAGUUUCCCCUUGGGUUGAAUUAGGUUCAACUCUUCUUUUUGGUACUUUAACAAGAAUAUGAAGAUCUUUUCCAGACCUUAAGUUAAUCCCCUUACAAUGCUCGUUUCCUUCUCUCUUUGGAUCCUCUGUAUUGUUUAGUAAAUUGUCCUAAGGUAUGUUGCUCAAUGUUGUAGCAAGCUGUCCAAUCUUAUUCUCCAAGUUUCUUAAAAAUACAGGUUGGCUUUAGACCACUACUUCAAUCUUCACAAUAUACUCCUUAAUCAGAGUUUCAAGGGAACUAAAUUGAUCAUUACUGGUGUUUCUUUACCCUUAAAAUUGUUGGUGAAAACCAGGUGGCUGAGUAGGUCUUUUCUGUCCACUGGAUGCUGUGGCAUGCUGAUUCUGAUUGCUCCAUGAAAAAUUUGGGUGAUGUCUCCAUCCAAGGUUAUAGGUGUUUGAAAAUGGAUUGCUUUGAUUUUGUUUAUUAAAAUUGCCCACAUAAUUGACUGAAGCUGAAUUCCUAGGACAAUUAUCAUAUAGAUGUCCCUCUCUAUAAUAAACACAAGAGACUUCAGCAACUUAGUUAACUGUUGCUGGAACAGUGGCCGUUGCUUUUACCAUAUUUGUCAAUGAGGUUACUUGGGCUGAUAAUGUUGUCAGUGCAUCCACAUUGUGUACUCCUGCUGCUCCUCUCACUGUGGCUUGUCUAGUUGAUGGUCAUUGAUAGUUAUCCUUUCCAAAAUUUCGUAAGCCUCAUUAUAUGAGUUAGACAAUAAAGCCCCUAGUGCUUGAGUUCAACCCAUUGUAGAAAGUUUCCAAUUGUAUGCAAUAAGGAAUACCAUGAUAAGGGCAUCUCCUGAGUAACUCCUUGAAUCUUUCUCAUGCAUCAUACAAGCUUUCAUCUUCAAGUUAAUGGAAAGAUGUGAUCUCAUUCUUCAACUUUGCAUUCUUUGUUGGUAGGAAAUAUUUCAUCAAAAUUUUGUCAGCCAAAUCAUUCCAUGUGGUGAUGGAGUCUGGUGGCAAAGAACUCCAUUGUACCAACUAAAAUUGAUUUCACAAAACACAAUAACCACCAAUCCCCGGCAAUGGUUCAAAAAAUUUGUUGUCGAUUUUCUAAUGCUAUUAGUGUCAAUGUGAAAAUGUACACAACAAGUAAUAUAACGAUAAGUAUUCAAGAUCGUCUCCACAAGGAUUAUUAUUAUAGGAAUUGCUACAAUAAUUUUAUCAGUGCCAUUCUUAUUAUAAAUUAGAAUUAAAAAAAAUUAUUCAACUAAUAAACUAAGGCAGAUCUUAUUGGGCUACUCGGCAAGGUGUUGCUUUAGGUCGUGUGGAAUAGUUGCGGGAGUGAUCUUGCAUGAUGUGUGGAGCUAUAACAGUGCUGAGCAUGGGCCAAUCUAUGGGCUCAUGGAACUAGCGAACCUAUUCUAGAAUUUUGAGGAAGAGUACUCUGGUUAGUACUCUAAAUUACCUUAUUAUAUUUUGCACAAACAGAGGCAUGUUAGUGAAAUAAUAUCUAAGCAACCCAAGAGGGGGUGAAUUGGGUUUCUAAAAAUUAUGCAAUUCUUAAACAAAACUUAAUGCAAAUCUUAAACGAAUUUAAAGCAAUAAUAAAUAAAUCAACCAAAAUAUAAAAAGAUAAGGGAAGAGAGAUUAAAACACAGAGAGUUUUACGUGGUUCGGCCAACCUUGCCUACAUCCAUGCCUCCAAGCUCACCGAGCUUGGGCAUUCCACUAGUCAAGCCUUCAAGGCUUCAAGAAUACUUAUAAUAGACUUCUUAGGUGUCAAUCAACCUUCACAUCUAGAGAUUAUCCCCAAUCUUUUAACCCAAGUGUAUCCCAACAUUUACAAUCACUCAAAAUAAAGAUUACAAAUUUAUUUUUCUUUCAUACAAUUUUUUAAGAUUACAAAUCAACGCUAAUGUGUGAAUAAAUGAACAAGAAUGAAUUUGAAGCUCAAUAAAUGUUGUAUUCUCGAUUAUAAGCUCAAUGAUAACGUUGUGAUAAGCUCUUGUUUGAAUUUGAUUGAGCUUAUUUAUAGUUGGAGUUGAAAAAUAGCCAUUGUUGACUUUUUCCCGAAAUUGGAUCGCCGUUAACCGUUUUGACUGGUCCAAGUGACCAUUGAGCUGAAUUUCAAAUAAACGGUUGAUCAUUUGACACUAUCGGUUUGCCGUUAAUUUCCAUAAACCUGUAAAACAAAUUUCUGCUAUCCGUUCUUGCUAAACAGUUGAAGGUCAGCAUGGAAUGACAUUAUGGAAAUUAUCGGUUGGCCGUUUGAAGUUAACGGGUCACCGUUUACUUCCAGAAUCACAGUUUUAACCAAAUUUCGCAGGGAAUUAUUUUUCAGUUAAAGUGAACGAUUAUCCAUAUUUCAUGAACACAUUUAGAAAGAUUAUACGACUUUUGAGAAAUUGUUAUUAAUGAAAACUCCAACAUUUUAAUAAAAAACAUUUAAAGUUUGUUAUCAUCAAAAUCAAUAUAAUGAACAUCUACAUGUUAACAGUUAGGCCUUGAUUAUUUUUUAAAUCUUAUAAGAUAUAGAGUAUUAAUAGUAACUCAAUUUUCAUAAAACAUGGAAAGAUCAGUCGCCAAAUUUCUAGAUGCCAUAGAUAAUCUAGACUUUAGUAAGGAAUAUCAAGUUAUUUAUACAAUGAAAAUUGUUAAAACUCGAUUAAUUGCAAGGAAACACUUGUAGAGAGAUAUGGAGAGAAUAAACUUUGAAGAUAACAAUGAAAUACAUGACACAUUUAAGGAAGAAAAUAUAAUAGUAUUAAUAGAAUCUAUUUUAACCGGUCUUAAGAUAAUUCAAGAUUGAUGCAAAAUAAAUAACAGGACUCUAAACCGUCCAUAAUCAGUCUAUUGAUUAAUAAUAACAAUAAUAGUGAUGUGAAAUUUUUUAUUCAGAAUGCUCAAUUUAGAUUAUAAUAUCUAUGUGAAAGCAUUGAUGACACGUACCUUGGUUGGGAAAAUAGAUUGGACACAUGGAUAUAUAUGUUGGAAGAAAAAAUCUAGUUUAUGUCUCAAGAGAGACAAUAACUUAUAAAUGCCGGUGCUAUAGUAUAUUCAGAUUUUAUAAAUCUUUAUAAAUUUAAUAAUCAUUUAGAUCUUCAUAAUAUUAUAAUAAAACUUUAAAAACUUUAAAAAAAUAUGUAGAAGAGAUGGAAGAAGAAAUCAUCCAGUUAUUCAAAAUCAAUUAAACAAAAAUAGAAGGUAAAAUCCAUGAAUUAUAUAAAUUAUACAAUUUCAUAGAAAUUUUGCAUAUAUUGCAAAAAGGUCCUUGUGGCACUAAUUAUGGGACUAGUGUAGCAUAAAUACUAAUAUUGCUUUUUAUUUUGUAAAUUAAUUGUUGCGUCAUAAUUUUUUUACAUACAAAUUUUAUGUUUUAAAAUAUGAAUUUUGUUUUUGUAUUUAGGGUUAAUUUUACAAUUUCAUACUUUGUUCAAUUAUAUGUACAGGUCCUUAACGUGUUGGUUGAUGUUGAAUAUUCAAAGAUCCACAAGCUAUCAAUGACAACCAAUCAAAUUAAACUAAUCAGUAAAUACAUAAUGACUGGGUUGUUUCCUAUGCUUGUUAAUGAUGUAGGAUGUUAUUUUAGGAAUUUAGAAUUUUAAUUUUUUAGGUCUUCUGAUAUUUUCUUUUUUAAUUAAAGUCAGUGUCUUAGUUUUUUUUUUAUUUCUGUUAUAAUUAUAAUUUACUUUCACUUUUUAAGUUAACUUAGGAAAAUAUAUUUACUGUAUUAUAAAUAAAGAAAUCUUGUUAUUACUUUAUAACUUCAACUUUAGUUAUUCAAUUAAAAACCACUCUUUUAUAAUGUCCUUUUGUAUUAUCUAUUAAAAACCCUCUUUUAUAAUGUUCUUUUGUAUUAUCUAUUAAAAACCCCUCUUUUAAAGUUGUUUGAUUAGAGCAUCAUCUAGCCUUGCUUAACGCAAUAUUAAAAAUUCCUUUGAGUUUAAUCACACGUCGAUUAGAGCAUAACUUAAUCGCAUUGACUUGGUUCAGUACUUGAACGAUAUCUAGUGUUUUGCUUCUGCUACACCCAAGGAGAAAAUUAAUUUCACCGUGAGAUAAGAGCAUUAAAAGGAAUUCAUAAGAAAUUUAAAUUAAAGCUAUGUUAAAUAUAUCGCUAGCUACUUGUUUUUGGAGGAAUUAAAACAAUUAAUUAGCUGCGAAGUGAAAAUGAAUAAAUAAAUGAAAUGAGGUUCAAAAUAAGUCUCGCCGCCUGGAUCCAAGGCCAAAACAUUCAUGAUAAGUUAGGUAAUUAAGUACAUGUUUUCAAGCUCUUCAUGAAGAAUAACGUUAUUGAAAUAAAUCACAAAGACCCCUGCGCAAAUUAUUACAUUGAUUAAAAAACAAAAAGCCAUAUCUUUAACAGGAUCGUGACUCUCGGACUGUUAAUUACUUUAUUCCCUGCUUGGCCAACAGCUGGCCACUAAACAAAAUCAUAUAAAUUUUAAAUUUAGUCAAAUUGGUCCCACUUGAGACAUCCUUUUCAUACAUAAAAUUGUUUAACGUCAAGGUUAAAUAUGAGAAGUUUGGUAGAGAAGGUAAAAAGGAAGUCUAUAUAAGGAGGGGAACGAGCUUUGUUUAUAGCACAAGUGAAACUCCACUUUAUUGAACGAUGGGGUCUCAAAUGGGCUGCCUCUUUGCCACUCUUUUGGUAGUAUCAGUCUCUCUUAGCUACUUGCCGUUAGAAGCCUCCGCAAACAAAUACUACUACACAUCUCCUCCCCCUCCCAAGUACAAGUCUCCACCACCCCCGCCACCGAUUCACAAUUCUCCACCACCACCCCCUGUUUACCUGCCCCCGCCACCUCCUCCACCAGUCUACGUGCCUGCUCCGGCACCAACUCCAAUUUCCUAUUCCCCGCCACCUCCUGUCCCCAAGUCCCCACCACCACCUCACCCUUACGUCUAUGCAUCUCCCCCUCCUCCUUACUACUACUAGAAAGCGGCCAUGAAUAGCUCAUGCUUUUAUGGUAAUCUCAUUUAUUUUUAAAACUGUACAUGUAAAGACUAGUAGUUCAGAAUUACAUUAAGCAUUUCAAUUUUGAGCACCGUAUUCUGUUUAAUUGCGUUCCUAUUGAUUAAGUGACAAAUAAAAGAGAUUGAUUAAUUUGUUCUUGUAGGAGAGGCGAAUGGUAUCCGAAUAAAGAAAGCAAGGGUUUGAUGGAAGGCUUACUUGGAGCAAGAUAGCGAUCAAUCGAGUUGCUGCGUUUUAUUCUCUUUUAUCUUUGUUUUUUAAGAAAAAUAAACUGCCACGCGUAGAAACAGAAAAUUAAGUUCUUGUCAUUUUCAUGCAUAUGGAUUGUUGAUGUGCGUGUCAAUCAAAUCUCCGGUGUGUCAUUUGUAAUUUUCAACCUUUAUGCAUGCAAAUGCGAGACCUCUUACGUCUAAUAAAAUUAAUAUACUUCCCAAGAUGGUCUUAUCUUGCGUUGACUUUUUACGUUCCUUUGGUGAUGAUUUUGACGUUUGAAAUUGAUGACUAUUGUUUUUGUAAACUCUGACAUGGAUUUUUCGUGCAACUACAGAGCACAUUAACGAGAGACUUAUCCAUGAGGGUCCAUGCAGAUCAGUGCUAAUUAACCAAUAAUUAAUAUAACUUAAAAAAUAUAGAGUUAACAAUUUUUAUGGGUCAGGCUCAAUUGCAGAUGUUCGUACAAAAUUUCUUGCUAAUGUAUACUUGAGUAUGAUAAUAAGUUUUAAUCAUUAUUAAUAAUUCACUUGAUAAUAUUAAACAAAUUUCCAUAUCAAUUAAGUUACAAAACUUCUGUGACAAAUUUCCACGUACUGGAACCAUGCAAAAGGGCUUUAUUCAAACAAAGCUGCAUAGCCGUUGGCAAUUAAAAUUAUUUAUCAAUUAAGUUAAGUAGUAAGAAUUGGAUUGUGGAUUCCAUUAAUUAUUUCAAGGAAAAUUUUAUAGAUAAUGCCGUAAUGAAAUUUACGGCAUCAAUACCAUGAUAAAUAUAAAUAUUGUAAAUUACAAAUAGAAUUAGUAAAUGUAAAGUAAAACCAGUAAAUUCAUAAAAGAUUAUUAAUUAUUUAAAAAUUUAACAUUGUUUCUACAUAAUUUUAGUGAAAAUAUUUUAUUCAUUUACAAAAAACUUUUCUUUAAUUAAACAAAAAAAAUUCAUUAAUUAAGCAAAAAAAUUAUACUGAAAAAAAAGUGGAAUAAGUUUUUUUAUCAGUGGUGUGGACUUUGUUGUAAUAGAGAGAUUACACAGUUGCUGCAGUAAGGAAGAAAUCAAUGUUGUAACAUUUGAAGAACUUGAUGAUGAAGAUCGUGGAGCGGCUAACAUAGCACGGUCAGGGGAUAAGCAACCCUUCAGAAUUGACAAGCAAAUCCAGCAAAGGGAACUCACUUCAGACCAACAAGAAUUCAAGGUUAACGGGCCAAAAAUAAAGCACUACAUGGGAACUAAGGUGAAUAGCCUACAGAAGCAUCUAUUCUUGAAGGAUCCAGGUUGAGCGAACAAGAAAGGUAAGACUAAAAGACCUAAAAUCAAGAGCUAAUUGGGAGGCAACCCAAUAAGAGAAGUUGUUUUAAGUCUUUAAAGCAUUAACUUUAAUUUUUAAAUUUUUCUUUUUGUUAUUUUAAGUGUGCAUCUAAUUUUUUAUGUCUUUGUGUUAAAUUGCAGCAAGUAAAAUAAAAAAAAAUGUAAAAAAAAGAAGAAAUAUCAGGAGGGAAUUGAUGCAGCAUCACUUACAGUAUGACAUAUAACAGAAGAUUCUCAAACAACAGAGGCAUUUCUUGCUUUUGCAGCAGCAAAUAGAUUGAUCAAAUUUUAUGAUAAGGAGCGUUUGAGAAGUGGAUCAAAGAAGAAGUUACCAUUUAUAGCCUGUGCUGCAGCAGUGCUUCCAGCAACAUGCAAGUACUCUUACCCACUAGUUUAUUUUACUUCUUUCUACAAAAUUUUUCUUUCAUUUAGUUUUAAUUUUUUUAUUCAUUAUGCAUGUCCUUUUAUUUAGUGUAUGCAUGUCUAGUUUAUGUGGCUUUGUUUUGUGUGCUUGUGAGGACACAACACCACUCAAGUUUUGGGGGGUUGUGUUUCUGAGUGCAUGUGUUUAUGUUUGUGUUGUGUGUUGUGUGAAGCUCUGUUAUCUAAUAUUUGUGUAUGGAUUUGAAAACCUAAUAAAGAUAAAUUGAGUGUUAUUCAAUAUUUAUAAGAACGCCAAGUAGAGAUAGUUAUAAAUGGAGGUUAAAAUUAUGUCCCGACACUUAGACUUUGAUUGAGUUUUAUGAGAAUACUGUAGCAGAGCCAGGAAAACCAAAAAAAGAGUAGAAAAUAUCUCAAGUUUGGGGGGAAAAUUUUGUUGGACUGUGCCUGUUAUGAAAUAAAUUAUGCUCCAAUGGUUUAAGUUGCUGAGUAACUAGGGUUGAGUAUGCACCCCAAAUGCAAACUUGAGUUCAAAGGCAACAAGAGCUAUGAGCAGUACUGCAGCAAUUAUAUAUAAAAAAAAAAGAAAAUAAUGGUGAUGAAGGAAUAAAAAAUAAAGGGAUCCGCUGCCUAAGAUACUGAGUAACCUGGUCUAUUCAUGAGCCCCAUGUUCAGCCUUGAGUCAAAGGUGUUCAAAGGUAAGACCUAGAUAUAACAUCUUAGAUGUGUUGCUGCAGCAACUCUGACAUAUAUGUGUAAUAAAUCAGACUUUUUACAAUUCUCUCAUGAGAUAUUUAAAGUUUCUUCUCUUAAUUUGCUUCUUGAAGAUCCUUCUAAACUUUGUAGCAAUCAUUUCAAUGCCUUCAUCUUCAAAGUGUCUUUCAUCAUCAUCACUUUCAACCAUAAAAGAUUUAAAAGCAAAGCUUUUCUUCUUUUUAUUUUCAUCAAUUCUUUCAUUAGUUAUAUCCUCUUCAUAUGAAAUAAGUGAACCAAUAAGAUCAUCAAGAGAUAAAGUAUUAAGAUUUUUUUUCUUCUUUUAUGGCCGUUCUCUUUGGUCUCCACUCUUUCGGCAAUGAUCUAAUAAUUUUCUUCACUUUUUUACUAUUAGUAUAUAUCUUACCUAGUGCUUCAAGAGAAUUCACAAUAUCGAUGAAUCUAGUGUACAUAUCAUGAACACUCUCAUAUUGAUUUUUUCCCUUAUAUACAACUUCAAGUUUCCUCCAAAUUUCAUAAGCACUUUCACAAUUAGAAACUCUAUGAAAUUUUUUCUUAUCUAAAGCACAAAAUAAUUCAUUCAUUGCCUUGGAGUUUAACGAUAUCUUUUUUUUUUCUAAUUCACUUCAAUGACUUGACGGUUUUGGAAUAUCAUCUCCUACUUCAUUUUUAGUCAUAUGCGUGAAUGGACCAUCACAAACAACUUCCCAAAUUUCAUAAUCUAAAGCUUGUAAAUAAAGUUUCAUCCUAAUUUUUCAAUAUGGGUAGUCAUUACCAUCAAAGAACGAUGGUCUAGUUGUGGACUGUCUUUCCCUAAAGGUUGAGUCAUUUUAGGUUGCUUUGAGUUUUGCUCAUAUCUAUUACAAGCUACCGUGACAACAUCAUUGGUUACUAUCUGCUGACUCAUAAUCAUCUACUCUAACAUCUUAUACACAUUAACAUUAUUUGCGGGAUUAAGGUCAUUCUCAUGUGAUCCUAUAUCAGCUCCAUCUUCAUAUUGUCCAAUAUUUGGUAUGGUAACAUUAGUAUUUGGCAUUACACGCUCAUUCGCUUCUUCAAAAUCCAACCACUCAGAUUAAUCAUCUAGAUGUAUAAAAAAUUACUCCUCAAGUGAUAGGCAACUUUAUUAAUCCCUAUGGUAUCGGCUUUAUUUGCUUGUUUACUUGUAUUGGUGCCAGUCUUUAGUUUAGUGUUGUCAGCAUAUGUGCUGAAACAGAGCUAUAGCGUGGGCUUACUGGAAGCAACUAGAUGCACACACAGCAGAUACUUCCUCAUGCUGAGCUGGCAGAAUUCUAGUAGCUUCAAUUAGUUAUUCCAGCUGCUAUAUAAACUGUAGUGAACAUUCAUUUCGUGUGUGUAACAAUAAUAAAAUAUCCAGAUUCUUCUUCAAACUUUCCUCUCGUUUUCUUGUUAUUUUCUUACUUAACAAACACAUUCUUUUACAUUUUCUCACAUGGUAUCAGAGCCAAUGGCUAACGCAAAUCAAAACACACAAUCCUAUAACUUCAUUACACCUAUCAAACUUGAUCAAAACAACUUUCUGGUUUGGAGGAAUCAAGUUUUAGCUUCAAUCAAAGGGAAUGGGCUGGAAGGCUUUAUAACUGGAGCAAAUCAAUGUCCGGAUCAGUAUUGCAAUCAAAUCAAUGAAGCAUCAAGCUCUGCAAAUGCUGGAUCCAAUUCCAGAACUGAGAAUCUUGCAUUUGCCACCUGGAUCAGAACAGAUCAAUUGCUCCUCAGCUGGAUGUUUUCAUCGAUUCAGGAGAAUUUGCUGACAUCUGUUAUCCACUGUGUUUCCUCUAAAGAACUGUGGGAUUCACUUACUUGAAUGUUUGUUUCUCAGACUCAGGCAAGAAUAAUGCCACUCAAAAUGCAACUUCAGACUGCAAAAAAAGGUUCUAUGCUGAUGACUGCAUAUUUUUCUAAAAUGAAACGUUUAGCUGAUAGUCUUGCUAUUGUUGGAAAGCCUGUUGAACAUAAUGAUCUGAUAACCUACAUUUUGACUGGUCUGGAUUCACAAGAUUAUGAAUCACUAGUUACUACAUUGCUUGCAAAAGGAGAAAAUAUGAGUCUGGAUGAAUUAUAUGCUGUAUUGUUAAGUCAUGAAAUGAGGCUUGAUCAGAAGAAAGGAAAAUUAAGUGAUGAUGUUAUGCAUAAUCUUACUACUAAUGUUGCACAAAAGAAUCAGGGAUUUUAUAAAGGUAAUUUUGGUUAUCAGAGAGGCAUAGGAGGUUUAGGUGGUAAUACACAAAAUAAUUUUGGAAAUGGAAGUAAUGGAGGAAAUAAUAUGCCAUUUAAGCCAAAUAUAGUUGUCAGAUCUGCUUUAUUCCAGGUCAUGGUGCAACCAAGUGCAAAAACAGGUAUAAUUCUGCUUUUGUUCCUCAAAGAGGUCCUGGAAGAGGAAAUUUUAGACCUGUGUUUAAUCAAUAUGGCAGAGGAUUUAAUCAAAAUAAUGCUGGUCAAAGGCCUUUUAAUAAUUUUGGAAAAGGUGGUAAUGGUGCGUUCUCUGGUAAUUGUGCCUUCUCGAAAGGAUUUGGCUAUCAAGGUUAUCAAGGUCAUACUGUUUAUCCAGAGCCAAUACAAUCAGAUCAUGUUGCUGGAAUACCUUUUGGUUCAUUUCACUCAGGUCCUAGCAAUCCUGCUGCUUUCAACUGCUAUAAUGGAGUGAAUAAUGAUCAGAAAUUUAAUCAGAACCAAAACUCUGUUGCUCCAUUCAUCUCUUCACCUGAAGUAAUUGAAGAUCCCUCGUGGUACAUAGAUAGUGGAGCAUCUAGCCACAUCACAAAUGAUUCAGGUAAACUUCUUGACUUGCAGCCUUAUUUUGGAUCAGAAGAAUUACUUGUAGGAAAUGAAAAUGGCUUGAAAAUCAAACAUAUAGGAUCUGUAUUGCUUGCUACAUACUCACAUGAACCCUUGUUUCUUAACCAUGUUUUACAUGUGCCUCACAUAACUAAAAAUCUGCUAAGUGUGUCUCAGCUCUUGACUGAUAACCAUGUUCUUGUUGAAUUUGUUGAUAAUCUCUGCCUCAUUAAGGCCAGGAACUCAAGAAUUCUUUUGCUUAGAGGUAUUGCUAAGGAAGGUUUGUAUCAGAUUCAAGAUGUUAUCUCCUCAAACUUUGAAGUCUCUAAGUCAACUCUCUCAGCUUACUACUCUCAAAUUCCUACUCAUAAGCAUUUGUCUAUAUUUGCUACUCUUUCUACUUCUGAUGAGUCAAGUUUCAGUUCAAGUCAAUCAAAAAUUUUAGCUUCUUCAAGUAAUGUAGUCUGGAAGCCUACUGCUAUGUCAGUGUCUAAUCAUUCAGCAGAUGUAAAUUUGCUUCAGCAAAGACUAGGACAUCCAGCCAUACAUAUUCUCAAAACUGUAAUGAAGCAUUGUAAUACAUUUGCUGAUCUUAAUAAAACUUCAAAUUUGCUUUUUUGUACUGCCUGUCAACUUGGUAAAAACCAUCUUCAAUAUUUUGGUUCUGUAAAAACCAAAACCACAGCACCAUUGCAACUCAUAUAUGCAGACCUCUGGGGACCCUCUCAUAUAACAUCUACUCAAGGUUACAAUUAUUACUUAUCCAUACUAGAUGACUUUAGCAGAUUUACUUGGUUAUUUCCCUUAAAAGCCAAGUCUGAUGCAUUACAAGUUUUUACAAUGUUCAAAACUUUUAUUGAACAACACCUUGACAGGAAAAUCAAAAUUGUUCAAACUGAUUGGGGGGGCGAAUUCAGAUCUUUUUCUUCCUUAUUAGCUGCUUCUGGGAUUCAGUUUAGGCACCCUUGUCCUCAUAUCCAUCAUCAAAAUGGAAGGAUAGAGAGGAAAUAUAGACACAUUGUAGAUGUUGGUUUGACUUUGCUAGCUCAAUCCAAAUUACCCUUGCAUUUUUGGUGGAACGCAUUCCACACAGCUGUGUUUCUUAUAAACAGAUUACCUACACCUGUUCUAAACAAUGUAUCACCUUUCUUCAAACUUUUUCAGCAGCAUCCAGAUUACUCAAUUUUAAGAGUUUUUGGAUGUGCAUGUUAUCCCUAUCUUAGACCCUAUAAUAGACAUAAACUUGAGUUCAGGUCUAGCAGAUGCAUAUUCAUAGGUUACAGCCCACAUUAUAAAGGCUAUCAGUGUCUUCAUUCAUCUGGGAGAGUGUAUGUUUCAAACCAUGUAAUUUUUGAUGAAAAAUCAUUUCCAUAUCAGUCAGGUGUUGAUUUUUCUUUAGCCACAAAUUCAAGUCUGUCAAAUUCUGAUACAACAUCCUCAUCUUCCUCAAUACAAGUCUUUCCAGUACAUUUUUCAGCAACUGAAUUCCAAGAACCUCUACCUCAAGGUUCUCAUCAAAUUUCAUCUCCUUCAUCCAUUAAUGUUUCACCUAUAUCUUCUUCAAGUAAUCAAGUCCCUGUCACAACAGAACCUAAUACAUCCUCUUCAUCUCAACCUCCUCAUCAAUUACCAGCAUCACAGCCCUCUGGUCAUCCUAUGAUCACUAGGUCUAAAGCUGGUAUUUUCAAACCAAAAACAUAUCUUACUACUCUUCUAUCAAAACCCUCUUAACCAACCUCUGUAGCACAAGCUUUAACAUAUCCUAAAUGGUUUGAAGCCAUGAAAGAAGAAUUUAAUGCUCUUCAAGCAAAUCAAACCUGGAUUCUUGUUAAACCUACAAUACCUGUCAAAGUAGUUGGUAAUAAGUGGGUAUUUAGAAUCAAGUAUAACUCAGAUGGAUCAGUAUCUAAAUACAAAGCAAGACUUGUUGCUAAAGGGUUUCAUCAGACAUAUGGUGUUGACUAUAGUGAAACUUUCAGCCCAGUUGUUAAGUCAUCUACAGUAAGAAUUGUGCUUAGUCUGGCAGUGAUGAAUGGAUGGUUAAUAAGACAGGUUGAUGUCAAUAAUGCCUUCUUAAAUGGCAUCCUUGCUGAAGAUGUAUAUAUGGAACAACCAGAAGGAUUUGUUGACCCUUCUAAGCCUCAUCACAUUUGCAAACUUAAAAAGGCUCUCUAUGGAUUAAAACAAGCUCCAAGGGCUUGGUUUGAUAGAUUCAAAUUUGCCAUGAUUACACAGUGGAACUUUGUUAAUUGUAAAUCAGAUUCAUCUUUAUUUUACAAGUGGGAUAAAGGUCACAUUUUGCUGGUUCUGGUGUAUGUAGAUGACAUAAUCAUCACAGGUUCUAAUUCACUUAGUGUGCUGCAAGUAAUUUCUGAUAUGCAGGCCACCUUUGCUCUUAAAGAUUUAGGAGAGCUUAGUUACUUUCUUGGUGUUGAAGUAACAAAAACCAAAGAAGGUAUUCAUCUUUCACAAAGCAAAUAUAUUGCUGAUUUGCUGGCAAAACAAGGUAUGGAUAGCUGCAGUCCAGUACCUACACUAAUGGCUACUUCUCAUCAGCUCACAAACACUCGGGCCCUGAAAUUGACAUUCCUAUCAGUAUAGAAGUGNNNNNNNNNNNNNNNNNNNNNNNNNNNNNNNNNNNNNNNNNNNNNNNNNNNNNNNNNNNNNNNNNNNNNNNNNNNNNNNNNNNNNNNNNNNNNNNNNNNNGUGAACAAACUAAGCCAAUUUCUAGCAGCUCCUACAAUAGAACAUUGGCAAGCAUGCAAGAGGCUGCUGAGGUAUCUUAAAGGUACAAUCCACUUUGGUCUCCAGCUAUACCACAGUGGCAAUUUACAAAUAACUUGCUUCAGUGACUCUGAUUGGGCGUGUGACAGAGAUGACAGAAGGUCUGUAGCAAGUUAUGCAGUGUAUCUUGGCUCAAAUUUGGUGUCAUGGUCUUCAAAGAAGCAGCAUGUAGUAUCUAGAUCUAGCACAGAAUCAGAGUACAGAGCUCUGGCACUGGUACAACUAAGGUUUUGUGGCUUCAAGCCUUACUUACUGAAUUAAAGUUUAAAACAGAAACAACUCCAGUUAUGUGGUGUGACAAUCAGAGUGCUAUAUCCUUAGCUACUAAUCCAGUUUACCAUGCAAAGACCAAACACAUUGAGCUUGAUAUUCAUUUUAUUAGGGAGAAAAUUGCGGCAAAACAAAUUUCAAUCAGCUUUGUUCCCAGUGAGGAUCAAACAACUGAUGUUCUUACUAAAGCUCUGACAUAUGGCCAAUUUCAGUAUCUUAGAUCCAAGCUGAAUGUUCUUCCUGGACCAUUCAGCUUGAGGGGGGAUGUCAGCAUAUGUGCUGAAACAGAGCUAUAGCGUGGGCUUACUGGAAGCAACUAGAUGCACACACAACAGAUACUUCCUCAUGCUGAGCUGGCAGAAUUCUAGUAGCUUCAAUUAAUUAUUCCAGCUGCUAUAUAAACUGUAGUGAACAUUCAUUUCGUGUGUGUAACAAUAAUAAAAGAUCCAGAUUCUUCUUCAAACUUUCCUCUCGUUUUCUUGUUAUUUUCUUACUUAACAAACACAUUCUUUUACAUUUUCUCACAAGUGUAACAAUAAAAAAUGCCCAUUAUUACUUGCAUGGUAACAAUAAAAAGAUGCCCAAUAUUAGGACUUUUCCCUCAACUUCUUGAAAGCAGCCUAAAGAUUUGAGUCCUCUUGCAAACUAACUUCACUUGUUUCCCACAGCAGCGUGACUUUAAACGUGACUUCUUCAGCUUGUCUAAUUGGGCUGUCAAAAUAUAUAUUGUUGAUAUCUCCCCCAAGUCUUGUGAGGCUGUACUGUUAUGGAAUUAUUGAGCCUACUCUGAAUACUUCUCCAUCAACCACUACCUUUAUAUCCUUAUAAAUACGGCUGUAAAACGACAAACAUAGCCAUUAAGUGAAAGCAAAAUAUAAGACACCUAUUUUCUAUGUAAUUAAUACUCGCAAUUACGAAGAGAUAGGGCAUAAAUUCAACACUCAGCUCAAGCAGUACACAUAUUCUCAUAGUUAUUAUUUUAUCAACCUAAAAACAGUGAACGCCAUUUAUAAAUAACAGUUAAAUGAAGUCAAACAUUAACAACGACACUGACUUCUUUAAUAUUAGUGUAACAUUCAUUUUAGAGACAAUACAUGCAUUAGUUUUUACUACAUAAAGUACAUAAAAUGAAGCUCAAUCUCUAAAUUCCAGCACCAGAUCAACAUUAUCAACUCAGCACUCCACACACUGACCGAUUACUCACAAAAACAUAACAUCAAGUGCGCAAUUUAUAAGCUGAAAUAAAUCCAUACAGCUUUAAACUCAAACAGUGAACAUACUCUUUAUAAUAAGUACUUAGUCAACCUAAUAAUUGAAGCGGCAUUUAUAAACAAAACUUAACUUAAGUUAGGCAUUCAAUACUAGUAUUGUCAUCUUUAAAAUCAUUGCAAAAAUCAUUUUUGGAGAUAAUUUUGACAUUAGUUUUACUUUGUUAAGUUUAUAAAAACAAAUAUCAAACUCCCAAUUCCAGCCACAGACCAACAUGAUCAUGCCCAGCACUAUGCACACUAAGCAAUUUCUAACAAAAACAGAACCUCGAGUGCACGCUUUGCAAGUUUAAAUAAAUCCAUGUAAUUUCACAUUAGUUCUCUAACUCUUGCCUCAAAUAUCCUUCUUCAACAAGAUAUCAACCAACUAAAUAGUUGUUUAUGUCAUGAAGAUUCAUAAUAUAGAGAACAAAUAAAAAUAACUGAUUUCUGAAACAAAGUUAUAUUGCUUUAUUAAUCAUUGUACAGUGGAGUCUUUUAUAUAGAUACAAGGCGUGCAAAUUGCUCUUAUCUUAUGAUUGUGUUUAUCAUAUAAAGCUAUAAACUUUUAAAGAUAUUACAAUUAUCAACUCUUAUCGGAUAAAGCACCCAAGUGGAGACUUUGUACAGCACACGUGACAUAUACCAUGAAGUACAUGAGGAAGGAUGCCAUAUGAGAUACGUUUAACAUAUGUUAACCAAGUGUUGUGUUAUUAUGCCCCCACAAAAUAGGCGUUCCAUCGUGAACACCUAGCUUGAACGCGAAGCAACAAACGGAGCACGGGGAAGAGCUUUGGUGAGUGUGUCGGCGAGCUAUUUUUCGGAUGGUAUGUGGACAAUGUUCAACGGCCCGUAGUGCAAUCUCGUCACGAAUGAAAUAAAAGUCAAUUUCGACGUGCUUCAUCUUCGAAUGGUAGACAAGAUUGGUGCAAACAAAAGUAGCUCUAAGAUUGUCACUUUAGAGAACAAGUUUAUAAAUUUGGACACCAAGUUCAGAUAAUAAACUUCGUAACCAGUAAAUUUCAAACACAGUGCUUCCAAUUGACCGAAAUUCAGCUUCAGUAGAUGACCUUGCAAUGGAGCGUUGUUUCUUAGAGGACCAUGAUACUGGAUUUCCAUAAAGGAAUAUGACAUAUGCACUGGUGGAAUUGCGGUCAUCUAAGUUGCCACCCUAGUCAUAGUCGGUGUAUGCUGUGAGUAAAGUAUUGGAGUGUUAGUGAAAUUGGAGGCCAAAGAAAAUAGUAUCCUUGAGAUAACGCAAGAGUCAUUUAGCGACAUGCUAAUGGAGUUGUAUAGGUUACUGAAGAAACUGACUGAGCUUGUUCACGGCAAAGCAUACGUCCAGACGUGUGAGAGUAACGUACUGAAGAGCACCAAUAAGUUGUCUGAACAACAAAGCAUCCACGAAGUCUGAACCAUCAUUAUUCUUUACGAAGUUGAAGAAGACAAGGGUGUUGAGACAAGUUUAGCAUCAAACAUGUUAAAUCAUUGUAACAAAUUACAAAUGUAAAGCUGUUGUGUGAGAAAAAGCCCGUCACUCUUUCGGAUUAACUCAACUCCUAGAAAGUAGUGGAAAUUUCUGAGAUCUUUGAGUGAAAAUGUGUCACUAAGGGCACUGAUGAACUUGGCAAGGGCGAGAUUGUUAUUGCCCGUGUGAAUGAUUUCAUCCACAUAGGUUAGGAAUAUAAGACAAACCUCGUUGUGAUGGAAGAUGAAUAGCAACGCUUUUGAGCAGCUUUGUUGAAAACCAAUGUUUGUCAAGAAUUUACGCAAGGCUGAGAACCAAGCACGUGGGGCCUGCUUGAGUCCAUAUAUUGACUUCUUUAGCUUGCGCACAAAAUUUCGACGGUGAGGAUCAACAAAACUAGGAGGCUGUUUUAUAAAGAUCUCCUCAUCAAGAUUAAGAAGGCAUUGUUUAUAUCGAGUUGUCGCAAGGACCAACCAUGUUGUAAGGCCAAGCAAAGAAUGACCCGAAUGGUGGUGUGUUUUACAACAGGACUAAAAGUGUCAUGAAAAUCUAUGCCAGCCCGUUGAUGAAAUCCUUUAGCUACUAAGCAAGCUUUAAAUCGAUUAAUUUUUUCAUCUGGCUGUCGUUUGACACGAAAUACCCACUUACAGCCAACUAAAUUUUGAUUAGGUGAUGGAGGGACCAACUCCCAUAUACCAUUGGUUAUAAGUGCUUGGUAUUCCUUUUUCAUGGCGUCAAGCCAAUGAGGAUCUUUUAGAGCUUCAGUUAUAGUAUGGGGUUCAACAAAAGGUGGUAGGGGGUGAAAGUUAUAUGACUUUGUCACGGGUUGAAAAGUGGUAGAGUAUUGAUGCUUGGGUUUGUAUAUAUUGUUUUGAGAGUGGGUGAUCAUGUGGUGGGUACGGGUAGGCGGUGGUGCAAGUGUAGGAGAAUUAUUUGGCUCGGGUGCAGGAGGAUUUGGAGAUGAGGUAAUUUCGUGAGCUAUAGAUAUGGAGGUAGGCUCAUUUGUAGUAGUAGGCGUAUUUAGUAAAGGAGCAGGUACAAUUGUGGUUAAUGGAUGAGAGUUAGAAGUUGGAGAUAUAGGUGAAGUGCAUGAGUCUUGGUUGCCUCCCAAAAAUAUGUGUGGGAACUAAGACUUGACGGACAUGGAUGACUAGGUAGAUGAGGUUGUAGACAUAGAUUUGAAUGGAAAUUCAUACUCAAGAAAAUGAACUUCACGGGAAAUAUAAAUCUUUUCAGUCCCAAGUUCAAGACAAAUGUAAGCACUGUGUUGGGAGCUAUAUCCGAGAAAUAGACAUGGAGAGGACCUAGGUUCUAAUUUAUUGGAUGUAUAAGGCUUAAGCCAAGGAAAGAAAAGAGAACCAAACACACGAAGUUUAUUGUAAUUUGGAAUAUCAUGAAAUAGAAGCUGAAAAAGACAUUUUAUAUGUGUUACUGGAGAAGGCAAUCGAUUUAUUAAAUGAACAGCUGUUUUGAAGGCAUAGGUCCAGAAUUUGGCUGGAAGAGGAGGCUUGAUGGAAAAGAGUAGUACCCAUCUCAACAAUGUGUCGAUGUCAGCGCUCAGCUGUGCCAUUAUGUUGGGGUGUAUAUGGUGGUGUGAGUAAGUGAGAGAUUCUUGUUUGAUUGAAAAAUUAUUUUAAUUUAAUAAAUUCACCACCGCCAUCAGUAUAAGCUGAAGCAAUCUUAGUGUGAAAAAAAAUUUCAACUACAUUUUUAUAUUGAAUAAAUGUUGAGAAAACAUCGGAUUUAGCACGUAAAGGAUAGAGCCAGACAUAUUUAGUAAAAUGAUCAAUAAAAAUAAUGUAAUAUCUGAAACCAUCAAUUGACGUAAUAGGAGCAGGACCUCAUACAUCAGAAUAUAUAAUCUUUAACGGUCUGGAACUCUUAAUGGAUGAUUUUCCAAACGGAAAGUGAUGACUUUUAUUGAUGCAACAAGACAUACAUGCCUCUAAUGGUAAUGUCCUAGUCUUACAUGGCUAAAAUGAUUUGAGUACACUUCUCAAAACUUUAUUUGAAGGAUGACCUAAACGCCUAUGUCAUUGAUUUGGAUCAGGUUUUAUUGUGACGAAAGAGGAAGCGGACAAAGAUUUAUUGGAAGGAAAAGAUUUGGGCCACUCGUAAACCCCUUCUCUAUUCUGGCCUUGCAGCAAAAUCGCCCCCGUGCUCAAGUCCUUCACCUAAAGAAAAGUAGGGAAGAAUUCAAUAGAGGUGUUAUUGGACAUGCAAAAUUGCGAGACAGAGAUUAGAUUUUUGUGCAUGGAUGGAACAUAAAGUAUAUCAUGCAAGGAAAAAGUUUUACUAGGAGAGUCAAGUGAAAGUGAACCAGUGUGAGAAAUGGAAAGACCUACACCAUUGCCAAUCACUACAAUGUCAUUUCCAUGAUAGGGAUGUUUGAUAGAGAGAUUUUGUAGGUCACUGGUAAUGUGAUGAGAUGCUGCACUAUCAACAAGCCAUUGGGAUGAGGGUAAAGGGGAGGUGGUAGUAUGGUGGGCUGUUAGGUUGGUUCGGUGGGAAGUGAAGUUAGUGCAAUCUUUGGCAGUGUGCCCUUUUUGGUUACAAAGCUGGCAACAACCCUUAUACCCUCUACGUUUCCUAGGAAAUUGGUUGAAGGAAUUUCGGGUAAGUUGGUCAUUCGAAUUUGUAUGAUGUCGAUUGGAAGUUUGUGGAGUGAGUGAUGGUGAGCUAGGUUGGCCACGGUUUUGGUGAAUGUUGCGGUUUGGAUAAGAAUUUUUGGUGUAAUUCUUGGUUGUCAUAUUGGCCGUGAUGGCAGGGGUUUGUGCAAGUGUUUCAUCUCUUUUCAGAUACUCUUCAAAGUCAACUAGCUUGUCAUACAAUUCAUCAAAAGCGAUGGAAGUUUCACGGGCUCGGACACCACCUAUGAUAAACUCUUUCCCAAUGUUGUUUAGUAUGUGAACAACUAAAUCAUCAUCUGUAAUAGGGGAAUCAAUGAGAGUUAACUCAUCAGCAAUGGAUCGUAGAUUAUUUAAAUAAUCUGCAACUGGUUGGUUAGCUCCACGAGGGCGAGUCAAGCACUCUUUGAGAGUUAACACUCUACUUUUGCUUCUGCUAGAGUAUAAUCGUUCUAGUUUGUCCCAAGCUUGCUUAGAUGUUGAACAACUGGCAAUUAAAGGUGCCACCCUUUCGGUUGAAGAUGCAAGAAUUGCAUUAAAAAUAAAUUGAUCUUGUCUUUUCCAAAGGGAGUAUUCUAGGUUUAUGUUGGAGGUAGUGCUGCUGCUUGAACUUGAGGUUUGAUAUGGACACGGAAGUGUUCCAUCUAUGUAUUUUAUUAAAUCAUAGCCAUAAGCUAGCGAGGAAACUGGGCUCUCCAAGUAAAAUAAUUGUUGGGUGUUAGUCGAAUUGGAAGCUAAGCAACAACAUUGAUAGAGACGCAUUCCUUGAUUUGAGUUGCUAUCUGUGUGGUUGAAGUUGCUGUGGAAUGUUGGCUGCUGGCCAUUGUGAGGAUUCUUGGUUGUCACAUGUAUAUGUUAACCAAGUAUUGUGUUAUUAAUUUCAACAAACUCAUGCCAAAAAUUCAUUUGAAUAGCAAUCAGACUCCAAAAUCAUUAUCCAAUGAAACAAUAGGCAACUAAAACAACAAUUACUGAUAUGCAUUUUUAUGAUUUGAAGAAAAAAAGUAGAAACAACAACUCUAUAGACCUACAUCGAUCAUUAGUAUUAUACCACCUCAACUUCACUUUCAAAUCAUUUUAACAUCGUAAAAAGGAAAAAACAGUACAACAAAUGUUUCAGUUACCUAGCAUGCGGCUCCAUUAUGAGUGGGUGGAUUCUUGGUUGUCACCUGUAUUCGUUGGGCCAUUGAAUUUGUUCAAUCUCUCGCAUCGGCUCCUGUCAUGGUUGAAUCUAAUUGCUUUGCUGCCAUCUUUUUGUUUGCAGCAACGAACUUCCUCAAUGCAUUUUUUAUGAAUUGUAACGGUGAGUUGAAUUACGGGAUUGAUUUGUGAGAUGAAAGAUAAAAUCUUUUUUUUUUUCUUUUGGUUUUGGUGCAGCAACUAUUGUACAUAAGGCAUGCUUCUAUUAUUACCCAACUAACAUUACAAUGUUUCAGAUAGGGGUGCCAAAACGAAUAAUCGAAUCGAAUUUGAAUCGUAAACGAAUUGAGUCAAAAUUUCACGGAUUCGGAUUCGAUUCGUUUAUGAAACGAAUUGAAAUCUCAGGAUUCGGAUUCGAUUCGUUUAUUAAACGAAUUGAAAUCUCAGGAUUCGGAUUCGAUUCAUUUAUUAAACGAAUAUUCAGUUCGAUUCGUUUAAUUCAUUUAAUAGAAUUGAUAAACGAAUCGAAUCGAAUCCGGAUUCGUUUAUUAUUCGUUUAUCCUAUUACAAAUCCAUAACGAAUCGAAUCGAAUCAGGAUUCGUUUAGGAUUCGUUUAGAAAAAUAUAACUAAUAAAUAAAAUUAAACAAAAUAAAACAUAAAAAAGCCACACAUUUAAUAUCCUACAACAAAAUACAAAUAACCCAAACCAUAUUUUAAAAUUAAAUAUGCAGUCAUCCAAAUAUUAAAUUACAAAUCCUUUUGUUCCGCUGGCCUUAAACUUUUGUCAAUCUCUUCUUCCAUUUCGAUUAUGUCAUUUACAUCAUCAUCUCCAACACUAGAAUCAUUAAUUGUGUUGAAUUACUUUGGCUUGUGUCCAUUCUCCUAAAAACAAAAUAAUUCAAAAUUAUUUAGGCAGAUGAAUUAACAAUUUAACUUAAAUAAUAUAUACAUAUAUAUUAAUUGAAGAAUAAAAUAUUAAGAUUAAUUAAUUAACUAUUUAGGAAGAUGAAUUAACAAUUUAACUUGAAUAAUAUAUACAUAUCUAUUAAUUGAAGAAUAAAAGAUUAAAAUUAAUUAAUUAUUUUUUAAAAAAAAAUUUGUAAUUGAAGAAUAUGCGCAAGAAAUGAAUACGCUAGCAAAUAUAUUAAGCAAAAUCAAGUUUGUACAAACCAACUCUCUUGAUCCGUGUUGUAUAUUUGCUGCCACUAGUUAGCCGCCGCUGUCAGAAAAUUCUUUUGGGAAUUUCGUUUGGAAUGCAAAUGCUUUGUGCAAAGAUCAUGAUGAUGAGGUAGAAUUGGAUGGCUUGGUGAUUGGUGUAGAAGCUAAGGGAAUCAUUUACAAAAGUUGUAAAACGUGUUCAAGGUGAUGGUGAAGGGUAUGGGUGGUGAUUUCCUCGCGGGCCGCGGCUGAGUUCAGUGAGUUGCUAAGGAAAUAAAGGGAUGAGGGGAAAGAGAGUGUGAACUGUAAAGUGUAGCCCAAAUUAGGGAUGGCAAAACGAAUAAACGAAUCGAAUUCAAAUCGAAUCGUAAACAAAUUGGGUCAAGAUUCUAUGGAUUCGGAUUCGAUUCGUUUAUUAAAUGAAUUGAAAUUUCAGGAUUCGGAUUCGAUUCGUUUAUUAAACGAAUAUUUUGUUCAAUUCGUUUAAUUCGUUUAAUAGAAUUGAUAAAUUAAUCGAAUCGAAUCCGGAUUCGUUUAUUAUUCGUUUAUCCUUAACGAAUCGAACCGAAUCGAAUCGAAUCAGGAUUCGUUACAAUUCGUUUAGAGAAAUAUAAUUAAUAAACAAAAUAAGUAAAAUAAAAUAUAAAAAAAAGAGAUGUGAAACUGUGAUAAACUGUAAAAUCAACCCUUGAUUGCUAAGAGAUGAAGGUAAANNNNNNNNNNNNNNNNNNNNNNNNNNNNNNNNNNNNNNNNNNNNNNNNNNNNNNNNNNNNNNNNNNNNNNNNNNNNNNNNNNNNNNNNNNNNNNNNNNNNNNNNNNNNNNNNNNNNNNNNNNNNNNNNNNNNNNNNNNNNNNNNNNNNNNNNNNNNNNNNNNNNNNNNNNNNNNNNNNNNNNNNNNNNNNNNNNNNNNNNNNNNNNNNNNNNNNNNNNNNNNNNNNNNNNNNNNNNNNNNNNNNNNNNNNNNNNNNNNNNNNNNNNNNNNNNNNNNNNNNNNNNNNNNNNNNNNNNNNNNNNNNNNNNNNNNNNNNNNNNNNNNNNNNNNNNNNNNNNNNNNNNNNNNNNNNNNNNNNNNNNNNNNNNNNNNNNNNNNNNNNNNNNNNNNNNNNNNNNNNNNNNNNNNNNNNNNNNNNNNNNNNNNNNNNNNNNNNNNNNNNNNNNNNNNNNNNNNNNNNNNNNNNNNNNNNNNNNNNNNNNNNNNNNNNNNNNNNNNNNNNNNNNNNNNNNNNNNNNNNNNNNNNNNNNNNNNNNNNNNNNNNNNNNNNNNNNNNNNNNNNNNNNNNNNNNNNNNNNNNNNNNNNNNNNNNNNNNNNNNNNNNNNNNNNNNNNNNNNNNNNNNNNNNNNNNNNNNNNNNNNNNNNNNNNNNNNNNNNNNNNNNNNNNNNNNNNNNNNNNNNNNNNNNNNNNNNNNNNNNNNNNNNNNNNNNNNNNNNNNNNNNNNNNNNNNNNNNNNNNNNNNNNNNNNNNNNNNNNNNNNNNNNNNNNNNNNNNNNNNNNNNNNNNNNNNNNNNNNNNNNNNNNNNNNNNNNNNNNNNNNNNNNNNNNNNNNNNNNNNNNNNNNNNNNNNNNNNNNNNNNNNNNNNNNNNNNNNNNNNNNNNNNNNNNNNNNNNNNNNNNNNNNNNNNNNNNNNNNNNNNNNNNNNNNNNNNNNNNNNNNNNNNNNNNNNNNNNNNNNNNNNNNNNNNNNNNNNNNNNNNNNNNNNNNNNNNNNNNNNNNNNNNNNNNNNNNNNNNNNNNNNNNNNNNNNNNNNNNNNNNNNNNNNNNNNNNNNNNNNNNNNNNNNNNNNNNNNNNNNNNNNNNNNNNNNNNNNNNNNNNNNNNNNNNNNNNNNNNNNNNNNNNNNNNNNNNNNNNNNNNNNNNNNNNNNNNNNNNNNNNNNNNNNNNNNNNNNNNNNNNNNNNNNNNNNNNNNNNNNNNNNNNNNNNNNNNNNNNNNNNNNNNNNNNNNNNNNNNNNNNNNNNNNNNNNNNNNNNNNNNNNNNNNNNNNNNNNNNNNNNNNNNNNNNNNNNNNNNNNNNNNNNNNNNNNNNNNNNNNNNNNNNNNNNNNNNNNNNNNNNNNNNNNNNNNNNNNNNNNNNNNNNNNNNNNNNNNNNNNNNNNNNNNUUAUUACCCCAUUUAUUAAACGAAAUCCUAAACGAAUAACAAAUCAAAUCUUUAACCUGUAUUCGAUUCGUUUAAUUAGCGAAAUCGGAUUCAAUUCACUCAUUUUAUUAAACGGAAUCAAUCUUUUCAAAACCCAAACUCAUUUAAAUUCGCCAUCGAAAUUGAAAUCAAAAUAAACGAAAUCCCUGACCCCAUAUUGCCACCCCCUAUAUAUUAUGUUUAAAAAUUACAAAUAUUAGCCCUUCAAAUUUUAAAAAAAAUUUCAAAUAAAUUUAAAAGAUAAAAAAAAGUAAUUUAAUUAAAACGGGAUAAUAAAACGAAUUUGAAAUGAAUCGACCUAUAUUCGAUUCGUUUAUGACCCAUUUAUUAAACGAAUCCUAAACGAAUAAACGAAUCAAAAUCUUCAAAUCCGCAUUCGAUUCGUUUAAUUAGUGAAUCAAAUCUAAUUCACCCGUUUAUUAAAUGAAUCAAUUUUUUCAAAUCCAAACCCAUUUAAAUCACAUCGAAUCGAAUCGAAUAAACGAAUCUUGACCCAUAUUGCCACCCCUAGUUUUAGACAUGUUCCAGUUUCCAAAGUCCUAAAUUUCAAAAUCAUUUUAAUAUUUAAUUAAUUUAGCAUGCAAUUACUUACGUACUGAAUUUUAUAUUAACAGUAAGGGUUGCAAAGUAGAAAUGUUCUUUUACAAUCUAUCUAAUCGAAAGGACCCCAAACCUUAUAGGAUGAAAUUGAAAAUUACUCAUUUAUAUAAAACACAAAUACUCAAUAAAUUUAAUAUUAUAUAAAAAGAUGUUGGCUGAUUACAAAAAGAUACAAGUAGCCAGAAUGGUCGUUGGCGACCUUUUAUUGUUAGAAUUUUUGGCAAUUGUAACAAUCAAUCUCAAGUAGUGAAAUACAUCAUUAGAUUCUAUUUUUCGAAAUAUACAUGAUGGUAGGCAUAGUUUUAGAAAUGAAGCAAUCGAAGCACUGCUCACACGGUGGCGAAAACUCCUCUUCGUCUAGCAGUGGCGAGUUAAAGUGCCAUGCUACCUCCAUCAGAUUAUUGAAGGUUGAGUUGAAUGGAGCUUAUGUGCACCCUAAAUCAUCAUUGACAGAAAGUAGGGUUUGGGCCACCAUGUAGUGACACAAUGUGUGAAAGACUUAAGGCAUUUUUUUAAAUUUUUAGAUUUGAAGUAACUUUUCUCCAUUUAGAUAAGGUUUAAUUUCAUAUUAUCGUCUUGUAAAAUGACAAUCUUUAAAUUAUUUGUUAAACUAUAGUAAACUCAGCUGAUCACUGUUAAAAAUAGAAGAUAACAAAAAUUUCAUAACACACCCUCAUUUUUUCCUUUAUUUUUUAAAUAAAAAAUAGAAUAAGUUGAAGUUUACGAUAAUUUGAGGUGUUUAUCAUUUCAUUUCAUGAAAUGAGGGCAAUCAUUGAAAAUUUACUAUGUGGUCAUAAUUAUAUUUACUAUUUUAUUUUAUUUCUUUUGUAAUGCGGUACAAAUUUAUUUUAGAUUUGAAGUUUAUAAGGUUCACGUAUGCAAAGAUGUGAGAUGGUAGAAGAUCAAUUUAUAUUAAAAUUCAUUAUUGUAUCAAUCGAAAGUAUGGGUUGCAAUUCAUGUCAUUGUCAAAUUCAAGUAAUGCAGGAUUUAGCUGGCUUCCACCUAUGGAAGGUCCCUUGUUUUGUCGUUAUCUGAAAUAACCAUUGGAUAUUUGAUUAGUUAAUGCAACAGCGAGAGCUCCAGUUUCAUAGCUUAAAAUUCAAUUUGAAUUAGCGACUGCAUAAGACGGGUUACUUAGAUAGGCGAGCGUUUAAAAAAUAUUUGUGAAAAAUUAGGGCAGUAAUAAAAUUCAAAACUUUUAUUGACUACAUGGAAGAUCAAAGUGGACUAUUGUGGUUUUGGUAUAUGUGUAGCUGACAUGAAUUUUGCGAACAAUUGUAUUGGAUAAAUUUUGAAUUAUUUUCCUCCUAAAUAGAUUAUCUUUAAAUCACUCAUUUAUUUUCAAAAAUUUUAAAUUACUCUUAUUUUUAAAAUUUAGGGGUGGGUUGAUGGAAUUUUUUUAAAAUCUUCUUAACAAAGUAAAUUGAAAAUUUUAAAAUACAAGAAUAACUUAAAGAUAAUUAAUAAACGAGUAGAAAAUUUAAAAUUAACCAAAUUACAUUUGAUGAUCCCCUUGUCGCGAAUUAAUUUCUUCAACGUUUAAUUUUUAGAACCAGCUCCAAUGAGUUGAGCAUUAGCUUAAUCUUGAAUUAAUUUUAGGUACUGGUUCCAAUGAGUUAAUUAAAGAAAUUAGUCAAAAUCGGAAAAUAUUAUUUCGAAAGUAUAUAUGUACUUCAUGCGAUGCGAAUUCCCAAGAACCAGAAAUUCGAAAGCAAGCGAAAUUAAUUGUUAAUUAAUUAAUAUAUGAUAAGAAUACGAUGCAAAUUCGUUUGUGAUAAUAAAUAGAUUGAGGUAAAUACAACAUGAUAAUUAAUUAAUCAUGUCAAUUUCUAUAACAAACAUGGCGAAAAUUUAUAUAAAAACUUCUAUUACCAACAUUACCACCUAACCAAAAGAACCAAUUAUGAAUUUAUGACGAUCGAAGAAUUUUAAAAUUCAUUAAAGGUAAUACAACUAAUUAAUGUAUGUAUAAUAUGUAUAAUUGAAUUUAAUGUAACAACUAUUUGCAUAAUUAUUUUUUAAAAUAAAUGUACAUAUAUUAUAACAUUAAUUAUUUGUUGUAUAAUUGACAUGAUAUUUCUAAUAUAUUCUAUAAUUUCUCUUCUCUAUGAAGGUCAAAAUUUCACGUAAGAAAAAAACUGAUCAUGAAGAACUAAAUAAUAUUGAUAUGUUAUUAAAUUAUUUUUUAUCGAUAAUAAAUUAAGUUACUUCAUAAGUACACUUGGAGUAUUAUAAUAUUUUAAUUCAUUAAUUUGUUUUGAUUUUUUAAAAAUCAAAUUAAGGUAUCUGAAGGUGUUGGUUAAGCACUAGACCUAAACCUAGUUGACAUUAUAUUACUUCACUUGUUUCCUUUUUUAGCUAGGUAUGUGUUAAUGUUAAUUCGUUAUCUGAAAGUUGAAAAAACAAUAGAAAGAAGAAAAAUCCGACACUCUUUUGAAACAAUUAAUAGAAUCCACCAUCAAAGUCUUAAUUACUACUUAAUUUAAUUGAUAAAUGAUCUUAAUUGCAGCUUUGUUUGAAUGAAGCCCUUUUAUAGGAGGUUACUAUGUUACAGAUUCUGUAACAUACAGCACCAAUGCAUGCACCACAGGUGUCCUGCUUAUGGAGAAAAAAAGCAGCAAAUGCUUUUGUCUGGUAGCUGGUUAAGCAGAAUCUGUAACUUAGCCUGCUCCCUUUUUAUAUGGUUCUAGUGCGUGGAACCAUGAUUUUAUGGGUCGUCAGGGGUUGUAAUCUAAGUAUAAUAUUAUUUAAUUUGAGGUGGCUAAUCAGUAAAUUCACAAAAAAUAGAUAAAAAUUUAGUUUUUCGGCCAGAGCCCAGAGGGUUGGGCCGCCUCGCCAUAAUUCGGCCACAUUAUUUAAUUUGCAAAUACAAUUAUCGCUUCACAAUACCGCAUUUUAAUCGAGAAGGGAGGGUAAUUGUCUUAGUUAAAUUCUUUUAAUUGUGGAGAAUAAAACUAAUUAAUUAAUCUUUUGAGUUACCUUAAUUUUGAUUAAUUAGUCAAUGUUUUACAGACAGCUAAAUUAUGAGUGAUUUUUGAGACUGUAACAUUUUUGAAAUUACGUUUAUCUUGUAUAGUCAUCUCAUAAAAUUGUUACAAGUUUUAUAUACCUUGAGAAAAUGUUGUAACAAAAAUUAUGACAUUAAUGACAUAAUAAACGUAAAUUUUAUAAAUUACACAUAAGACUGGUAGAUUAAUAGAAGACUAUUAAUUAUUAAAAUAAUCAGAUUGAUUUUUACAAAAUUUUAGUGAAAAAUAUUUUAUUUAUUUACUUUAAUUAAAUGAAAAAUCACCCAUGAAUUGAAAAAAAAUAUAUAUUCAAAACAAGUGGAGUAAGUUUUAUUAAAUUGGUUUAACCAUAAAUUCUUAUAGGAUAUUUAUAAACCAUUUUUUUUCAUUUUCUAUAAUAGCAUUUGUUUACUACACAAGUAAUUAAGUGAAUCAUUUAUCUUGAUGUGGAUCAAGGCAAAACAAAAUAUACAAGACUUUGCUAUAUUACUAGUCACUUAUAUGGUAUAACAAUAAAAUUAGAUCUUAUUUUGAGUCAUGUGCAUACUUCAUAUAGUUUUAAACUUUUCUCCUUACUUGUACUCAAGAUCAUUCCGGAUUGCUAUUAAAGGUGUAAAAGGAAGCAAAAUUAGUUCAUUUGACAACUGCUUUGAAAAACAUUAAUAGAAUAGUUUUUUCAAAUUUUAAUUUUGGGAAUAAAUUUUAUCCUUAAUAAAAUGUCACAUGCAUUAUAUAAAACAAAAACUAUCAUUAUUCAAUUUAAAUACAAAAUAAGUAAAUAUAUAAGAUAAUCAAUAUUAUAACUUAAUUGAUGUGAAAAUUUGUUUAAUAUUAUCAAGUGAAUUAUUAAUAAUGAUUAAAACUUAUAAUCAUACUCAAGCACACAUUAGCACGAAAAUUUGUACCAACAUUUGCACUCGAGCCUGAUUCAUUAACCAUAUUUUUUAUGUUAUAUUAAUUAUUGGUUAAUAGACACUGAUCUGCAUGGAACCUCAUGGAUAAGACUCUCGUCAAUGCGCUCUAUAGUUGCACGAAAAAUCCAUGCACAGUUUACAAAAACAAUAGUCAUCAAUUUUAAACGUCACAAUCAUCACCAAAGGAACAUAAAGUUCAACGCAUGAUAAGACUAUCUUGCGAAGUAUAUUAAUUUUAUUAUACGAAAAAGGUCUCGCAUUUGCAAGCAUAAAAGUUGAAAAUUACAAAAGACACACCAGAGAUUCGAUUGACACACACAGCAACAAUCCACAAGCAUGAAAAUGACAAGAACUUUUCUGUUUCUACAUGUGGCUGUUUAUUCUUCAUUAAAAAAAAAAGAUAAAAAAGAAUCAAACGCGGCAACUCGAUCGACCGCUAUCUUGCUCUCAGUAAGCUUAUCAUCAAACCCUUUCUUUAUUCGGAUACCAUUCGCCUCUCCUACAAGAACAAAUUAAUCAGUCUCUUUUAUUUGUCACUUAAUCACUAGGAACACAAUUAAACAGAACACGGUGCUUAAAAUUGAAAUGCUUAAUGUAAUUCUGAACUACUAGUCUUUACAUGUACAGUUUUAAAAAUAAAUGAGAUUACCAUAAAAGCAUGAGCUAUUCAUGGCCGCUUUCUAGUAGUAGUAAGGAGGAGGGGGAGAUGAAUAGACGUAAGGGUGAGGUGACGGUGGUGGUGGGGACUUGUAGACAGGAGGUGGCGGGGAAUAGGAAAUUGGAUUUGGUGCCGGAGCAGGCUCGUAGACUGGUGGAGGAGGUGGCGGGGAGUUGUAGAGCGGGGGUGGUGGUGGAGACUUGUGAGCCGGUGGCGGGGGUGGUGGAGAUUUGUACUGGGGAGGGGGAGGUGGUGGUGGUGGAUAUUUCUUUGGUGGGGGAGGAGAUGUGUAGUAGUAAUUGUUUGCGGAGGCUUCUAAUGGCAAGUAGCUAAGAGAGACUGAUAUUACCAAAAGAGUGGCAAAGAGAUAGCCCGUUUGAGACCCCAUCGUUCAAUACAAAGUGGAGUUUCGCUUGUGCUAUAAACCAAGCUCCUUCCCCUCCUUAUAUAGACUUGGCUUUUUACCUGCUCUACCAAACUUGUCAUAUAUAACCUUGAUGUUAAACAUUAGUAACUAAAUUAUUCUGGUUAUGUAUGAAAACGGUGUCAUCAAGUUGGCACAAAUUUGACUAAAUAUAAAAUUUUAUGAUUUUGUUAGUGGCUAGCUGUUGCCCAAGCAGGGAAUAAAGUAAUUAAAAGUCAAGAUCCUUUUAAUGAUAUGGCAUUUUUUGUAUCAAUGAAAUGAUUUGACCAGGAAGUCUCCGUGAUUUACUUCAAUAUCAUCAUUCUUCAUGAAGAGCUUGAAAACAUGUAUUUUAUUACCUAACCUAUCAUGAAUUUUUUGGCCUUGGGUCCAGGCGGCGAGACUUAUUUUCAACUUCAUAUUCAUUUAUUUAUUUUCACUUCGUAGUUAAUUAAUCGUUUUAAUUUCCCCAAAAAUAAGUAGCUAGCGAUAUAUUUAUCAUAGCUUUAAUUUUACUUUCUUAUGAACUACUUUUAAUUCUCUUAUCUCACGGUGAAAUUAAUUUUCUCCCAAGAAUGUUAACCGAAAGAGCAACGUAGUGGAAGAAAAACACUACAUAUCGUAUAAGUACUUAACAGUUGAAGGUCAGCAUGGAAUGACAUUAUGGAAAUUAUCGGUUGGCCGUUUGAAGUUAACGGGUCACCGUUUACUUCCAGAAUUACAGUUUUAACCAAAUUUUGCAGGGAAUUAUUUUUCAGUUAAAGUUAACGAUUAUCCAUAUUUCAUGAACACAUUUAGAAAGAUUAUACGACUUUUGAGAAAUUGUUUAUUAAUGAAAACUCCAACAUUUUAAUAAAAAACAUUUAAAGUUUGUUAUCAUCAAAAUCAAUAUAAUGAACAUCUACAUGUUAACAGUUAGGCCUUGAUUAUUUUUUAAAUCUUAUAAAAACGAAAUAUCAAAUGGCUAAAGUAAUAAAAUCUUAAAACCCUAAAAUAACGUCCUACAUCAUUAACGGGUAGUGGAAACAACCUAGUCAUUAUGUAUUAACUAAUUAGUUUAAUUUCAUUCGUUGUGGUUGGUAGUUCGUGGAUCUUUGAAUAUAUAUUCAACAUCAAUCAACAUGUUAAGGACCUGUGCAUAUAGUUGAACAAAGUACGAAAUUAUAAAAUUGAUCCAAAAAAAGAGAUCUCGCAUUUGCAUGCACAAAAACUGAAAAUUACAAAAGACACACCAGAGAUUUGAUUGACACACGCAGCAACAAUCCACAAGCAUGAAAAUGACAAGAACUUUUCUGUUUCUACAUGUGGCUGUUUAUUCUUCACUAAAAAAAAAAGAUAAAAAAGAAUCAUACGCGGCAACUCGAUCGACCGCUAUCUUGCUCUCAGUAAGCUUUUCAUCAAGCCCUUUCUUUCUUUAUUCGGAUACCAUUCGCCUCUCCUAAUAGAAGAAAUUAAUCAGUCUCUUUUAUUUGUCACUUAAUCACUAGGAACACAAUUAAACAGAACACGGUGCUUAAAAUUGAAAUGCUUAAUGUAAUUCUGAACUACUAGUCUUUACAUGUACAGUUUUAAAAAUAAAUGAGAUUACCAUAAAAGCAUGAGCUAUUCAUG